Molecule: long non-coding RNA, 66899 nt
Filed under: Brachypodium distachyon (stiff brome)
Lineage: Eukaryota; Viridiplantae; Streptophyta; Magnoliopsida; Poales; Poaceae
Description: long non-coding RNA (BDIS_LNC000268)
Rfam family: MIR1120/MIR1122 microRNA precursor family (bases 43816-43940)
Source: RNAcentral
UCCCCUACCACGCACCCGCCUCCUCAUAGCCUUGCUUGAUAAGGUGUCAAGUCGAUCCAUGACUAAUCUUUUUUUUUUACGAAAUAGAUCUCUUGUUGCGGCAAUUAAUUGAUGCAAAACUGAUCGAGAAUGGAUUUUUUACUCUCGAGCAUAGUGCACUCCCUAUCAAGGCCGUCGGACCCUUGUGCACUGACCCUUCGAUCUGGGUGUAGCCAAAGCUGCUGACGGCAAGAAGACGGAGGUAGAACUGUUCCGUUUGUGAUUCAGAUCGAUGGCCUUAGGUAGGGUACUGUUCAUCUUUCUUUUUUUUUACUUUUCUUCUUUCCCAUCACUCUCUCCUCGCCCUGGCCAGUGUUUCCUUCCGUUUCUUCUUCCCCCUUCUUCCUCUUCCCACAUGGCUGUUCCCCCAUCGCUAUCUCCCCUCGUCAAGGCCAGCGGGGCGGUGCAGCGAGCUCCAUGUAUUGCGGGUUCCCCAUAUGAAGGCUCCAGUCCAUGCAUGUAUGGUGGCUUUCCAUAUGGCGGUCACACAUAACCUCAGGCCAUGGCGUCUUCACGCAUGUGGACGCCCCAUAUAUCUCAGGCCAUGGCAUCGGCGCUGCUCUGUGUACUUGCGUUGGUUUGGAUCGUUCUUUGCCUAUACUUCACUACCGUACAAGAACAUCUCAUGAGGGGCACAUCCAUUUGUAACACAAGAAUUGUCCGGGAGACUCUGCGCUGCUCCUCUUCUUCUACUUCCUCGAGCUGCCUCACGCAGCCGCAGCUCCCUCUAUUCUCUCUCUCGUUCACUUUGCACACAAGGAAAGAACAGAAGCGAUAUUUUUGGUGACGGACGGCCUCUCAAAGCUCGUCUCCUUCCUUUUCUCUAUUUCUGUUACCAUACUAACGGGAAUACAAUGCCUUAAAUAAGCUACGCAUAGAUGGAAACUACUCCAACUAAUCACUACCGGGUCUCAUGCCCCUAAUUGAGCAUUUGAGCCCCACAUCUUGCUUCCUGGAUUCUCUCCACAACGGAAACACAGGGCAAACUGAGUCGUUGGAGAGCAUUGCGUCAAAAAAUAAUCAAGAAGUAUCUGUACGAGAGAGAGAGCCUUCGAUCUAGAUCAGGAGGAAUAGAGAGAGAGAGUGAUGGCUCCUUCGAUUAGAUCAGAGGGACAAACAGGAUGGGGCCGAGAUGUGGGACGAAAAGGUUAGGUGUAUGGGGCUGUAGACUUUCCAUCCAUCCUAACGUCUGCCUGGAAUCUCGCCGUCUGAUACGUGGGCGCGAUGGACGGUCCGUGAUAGGAGGAGCAAGAAGCUCGGAAGCAAUCGAAACUUUUCCAAACUUGAUCAGGCCAACCCUUCUAUUUUUACUUGUACUGCUACAUUGGUUAUGAUGGCGAUGAUGGAGGCGGAAAUACGACCUCCAUGGCUCCAUCGAUCAUCUGGAUAACUUCAGUACAACAAAUUAAAAAGAGACCUACAAACCGCCCAGUUUCAACUUUGCACGUCCAAUUUCUCUAACAAUCAAUAACUUCUGACUUCUCACUCCGUCCCAUGUUGUCAAGUGACUUUUCUAUUACAUGUAUUUAGAUGUUUUUUGGUCAUAGAUACAUCCAUAUUUGGACAAAUUUGAGUUCCUUGAUAUGGGACCAGAGCAUGAGUGAUGGGGGUCUCAGCUUUUAGGUUUUCUGUCAUAUACACCUGAAUGUGACGACAACUUGAAGCCAACCAUAGGUAUGCUAUUCGAUACUUGUAUGGAAACAGUCGAGCAGUUUACAAGGCUUGUUCACAAAAUGUUGGAAUUUUAGUUCAAACUCGGCAGAAAAGGACUGUAUGGAAGCGUUUUCUUCAUGGCAAAUCAGGUUUCUAAAUAACACGCGCGCACUAAUCUCGCAGCAAACCCACUUCUUUCCACAUCACCUCGAGUCAAAUUUUAUAGUGCUUAUUACAAUUAAAAUAAAAUUUUAUAACGUCCAGCAGGUACUCAGAUUGAAAAGAAGCUUAUAAAUCAGAGGACGGCCGGCGCUAAGACUCCGGCAGGCACCAAGGUCCAUCUUCUCAGAAUAUCUCCGCGCAUCGGAACGUCUUGAAUACCUGUCCAGCAAACCUUCACCAGCAGCUCAUAGCAACCGUGAUUGCAAACCUUCUCUUCUUCAGGGUAUGAUAGCGUGACCGAGGUGCGUUCAUCUUUCCCAUUGCCAGCAAUAAAAGAAACAUUGAGCAGAAUUUCUUCAUCAUCGUCAACCGUGUGGCUGGGAACAGGGACGGCUACCAGAUUACGAGUCAAGACAAUAGCGCCAUCAUCUUCAAUUAAUAUGUGGUUCCACGUCACCUUAUUAUCAUAUUCAUAUAGAAUGAUAGGAUUUUCAAUAUUUCCGAUGGUUCGAGCCGUUACUUUGCUUUUGAAAGGAACAUCACAUGGUCCACUCAAAAUAUUAACUUUAAGAGAAGCUGCCACGGGAUUCGUAAUAGGCGAUAAUGCCAAUUCGACUAUACUCCGCCAGCUACUCAGCAGAUGAGUGAUCAUGGGUCGCCUGUCAAAGGGGACACGCCAGUGUCGUAUCACACCUUUGCUAAAAUCUUUGUCAUCACUGGUCUGAUCACCCUUGAUCUUCAAAUUGAUCUCAAAAAACAUACUGUCCGAUAUGACAAAUCCCCGGCGUGGACCUGUCAGAGUUAACAUGUUCCUCUGCACAAGGAUAUGGCAAAGAUAAUUAACGUAAAAAAAGUCUCAUAUCGAUAGUUAAACAAGCGUAAUCAAAUUCUGACAACCGAACAAAGUAUGGCUAGUUAGAUAAAUUUAACACCAAUAAUCAUACAUUUGUAACUCAUAUUCAAACACACAAAAUAAUGACUUAUGGAAACAUUGGGUCGAUCAGACCCAACCUAUCAAAGUUUCAUCACAUUCCAGUCUUAACGAGUACUCACUAGGUGCCAUAUUAUAAGGCGCAUGGUUUUCGCCCAAGUCCAGGCUUUUAAAAGCUUGACAGUAUAUGUUUAUAUAAAUAAAAUAUCAACAUCCAUUGAAUUAUGAAACAUAUAUUCAAUGGUUACUCCGUUGGUAUUGUAGAUGUCAGUUGAUAAUUUGUUCAUAUAAACUUGGUCAAAUUUUUAAAAUGUUGAUUUAGGAUAAAAACCAUAUUAUAAUAUGGAAAGGAGGGAGUAUAAAUUUUACUAGACCAUAGCUCUUUUUUGAUAAGUCGAGGUAAAUAAUUGGAAUACCAAACUAUAGCGUGACAAUUAAUUCAGGAUGCAAUCAAAUGGUAGACAUCUUUCAUCCAUGGUGAAUUUAGGGUGAGGAACUGAGGAUCACGAUAUAUUUGGAUAUUGGUAAUCUAGUGAGGAAAAUAAAACUAGGGAGGUUGAGGGAGGAACAAAAGACUAACCGAUUUGGUGAUGCACUGGGGAUCAUCCCUUUCACGACGGAACAGAUAGACACAUUUAUAGUCAACCUCAUCCCUUGCAAGCACGGUGCCAAAUACGUUGAUUGGGUAGCCCACAUCAGAUCUGAUUAUCUUCAAGGAAAUGACAUUAACCGAUGCAUCUGCCAUCUCGCACCAAUCAGAAUAAGUUUGAACUUGAAGCGGCAGACCAUGGGGGGCAUCGGCUGUAAAUUUAGUCCAGCACACAAAUCAGGAAAAAGAAACAUGAUGAAUAUCUCUGCCUACGAAAUCAAUGAGAUGGUUGCAAAGACUCACACUCUUCAUCGAGGUCGAAGAACGCUAUGUUGAAAUGGCAGAAGCAGGUGCAGACAAAAUCAUUCUGCUUUGGAUCAUAUUCAGUGAACUGUCUGCAAUGAACAAUGUGAAGACCCAGGAGCACCUUCUCCUCAGUUGUGUGCUUGGUAUCGGGCUCGAACAGCCGUGCCAUCCUCUCCUGCUUCACCACCACGUCUGUGUCCGAGUCAGACUCCGACAAAGUAUAAGACUCAUACUCAGACUCCGGCUCCGACCCAAACUCUGGCUCAGACUCCGGCUCUGACUCCGCUGGCUUUGCAAUCUUCCUCUCCCACCACAUCUCCUCUCCCGACAUCUUCCCACCGCGAGUAAGAAGAAGAAAUAUGUAGUAAUGUGAGAUUUCGUGGUAAUUCGAUGAUAUAAAAUAAAAUCGCAUUGCAUCAGAAAUUCAGAAUAGAAGAGGAGCUUGCUUGCCUUCUUCUCCGAUUUUGCUGGCGCACCCGUACUCCAGCCGCCGAUGGAAGAGGCUAGGGUUUGGCGAGUCUGCGAUCAAACUUUUCGCUUCGCUUGUUUUUUCUUCUCAAAAGGAGAACCCUGGGGGCGCUUAAUAUACCGCCCAGGCCCGAUGACGCCCUCUGGUUCCGAUUUUGACUUGAGCGCGACUCCGAGUCGGAGGAGGGGUAGUUCCUCCGAUUUUGCUUUCCGGAUCGAUGAGCCCGCGCGGCACAGGCGGCGCUGCAGUGCAGAGCGCGGGGCGGGAGUCUGAGUUAAAUGGCAGGGACUUGGCAGCGGCGCGGUGCACGGGACAACGGGGACUUGGUGCGCUGGGCGUGGGGAUCCCCAUCGGCGGGGACUUGGCACGGUGCGCGGGGCGGCGGAGGCGCAGGGCGCCGGCACAGGGUCGGACGACGCGACUGCGCGUCCCUGGCGGCUGGGAAUCGGCGUGGGGCGGUCGGCAUCGACGGACUGGGGGGGCGGUGGCGCGGGCGGACCAACAGCAACGGUUGCAGCACGAGGAGCGGCGUAGAUUGGUGAGGGGGAGGUGGCGGCGGGAUUUGAUGCCGAGGGAGAGGUGGCGACGGAUUUGACGCCGGCGAGGGGGAGGUGGCGGCGGAAGGAGGAAGGCCGAUGGGAUGUGCAGCACGCGGAGAGAAGAAGACGGCAAAAUCUGACGUGGCAGAGAGAGCAGGGGCUUCCUCGGGGUUCCCUGGAACGGGGGCUUGAGCAGGACCUCCGUAGAGUAGGUACCAAAGUAUGAACCCUGUUAAACACAGCACUACAAAAGAUGUCUCAAAUUUAUCAAAAUUUAGAUGUAUUUAGACAUUUAAUGUAUAGAUGCAUUUAAAUUUGAUCAAAAUUGAGACAUCUUUUAUUGGACGGAGGGAGUACAUUUUUUGCCUCCACCUCCUAAAAACUAAAUAGGGACUCUGUUUAAGGGCCAUGUUGAAGAUGCUCUUAGGAGCGGAUUUUUUCUUGCACUGAUCAAUUCUCUGAUCGUUAAAUUUUGUGCAUCCUGCUGUAUUUCUCUCAAAUUUGGGUUCUCUGCAUCCUACUCCCUCCGAUUCUAAAUUCUUGUCGAAAUAUUACAUGUAUCUAGACGCAUUUUAAGAAUGGAUACAUCCAUAUUUAGGCAAAUUUGAGCCAAGAAUUUAGAAUCAGAAGGAGUACUUUAUUUCUCUCGAAAACUUUUUUUCCUUUGCAUUCUAUUGGUUUUCAAUCUUGUGAAAUUUUGUCCCUUGGUACUCCCUUUCGUUCGUCCGAGUUCUCCUCGACAUAUUCCAAUGUUUUUGGUUAUUUGAUUCUUGCUGGAAUCUGAACUUGAUCAUUACAAAUUUCUCAUGUUACACGAAUUCCAGGUUAAUUAAUUUGUGACGCGUGUGGACUGGACACUGACAGUGGAGUUGAGGCCAGGGCGAAUUUCUCCACACACGCAACUAAAUUUUGCUCAUAUGCUCAAAUGCCACUCAGAAUUUGCAUAGGAUACAAAUAUGUCACUACCGUUAGUUGACCGUUAGUUGACCGUUAAGUACAAAAUGAAAAGACAAUUUGCUCCUAGAUAUUAUGUUGAUUUCCCCUUUCACAACAAAAUACUCCAUCCGUCUUAUUUUACUUGUCGUUUUAGAUUUAGUCCAAAUACCAAAGCACACGAUUAUUGCAACGGACCUGGAGAUUGAUUUUGUUGUACUUAAUCUCACGCCCUGGCCCGCACUUCACGCCGCCUCGCACGCGCUUACGGGUGGUGGCUGCAUGCAGCCCAGGCCCAGCGCAUGCACAACAAGCAAAGUAAUUAGGCAGUGCUGUAAAAAAAAGGUAAUUAGAUAGAUUCCUGCCUUCCUGAAAACCGAUAUCAGUAUUGCCCGAUACGACACUUAUUAUGGGAAAAAAUAAAAAUCUAAAACGAGAAAUAAAAUGAGAUGGAUGGAGUAUUCGUUGUAAAGAAAAAAUCAACAUAAUAUUUAGUGUCAAGAUUGUCUUUUAAUUUCUUAUUUAACGGUCAACUAGCGGCCAACUAACGGUAGUGGCAUAUUUGUACCCCACACAAAAUUUGAGUGGUAAAUUUGGAACAAAGAAAUUAUGAGUGGCAUUUGGUCAUAUGAGCAAAUUUUGAGUGGCAAAUAUGUAAUUCUCUCUUGUUUUUUUGUUCGUGGUAAACUGGAAGUUUUAUGUAAAAAUACAGGAGCGGAUUUGUUGCUACACAUCUCAAAUUCUCUGUGCUCGCAAAGCUAUGUGGUCAUAAUAAUGUGUUAAAUUCUUCAAUAAUGAUAAUACUAAGAGUAAAUUGCAGAGAAACACAUGUGUAGCGGUUUCUGUAACAAAAAACCACGAACCCAAUUUUAACUAAUACCCACAACACGAAGACUAAUGAAUAACAGAAAACCCAAAAGUGACCGCUUAAAGCUAGUUAACCUUCAUGGCCCACAUGUCAUACACAGAGGCCAGGUUUUCAGCUCACGGCUCAUUCCCGGCGGCUCGAGCCGGCUCAUUACCAGCAGCUCGUUCAUCUCUCGCUCCUCACUCCUGGCUCUUCUCCCCCAGCUCCGGUGAGUGACCCCCGCCAUCCACGGCUCAUUCCCGACAAGCUUGCAGAGUAAAUCACAGCAGCCUUCGCGGGCCCAUUCGGAUUUUGGAGAAAUUGCAAUUUAGUGUACAAAUCAUAGCGAGCAGUAAAUCACGCGGGUUGCUCUCUUCGUUUGGGCCAUGGUUCGUGUGGGGGCCUGGUAGUGCGUCUGCCUUGUCAGGAGACAGCAAGGGCGGAGGAGAAAGAUGGGGAUGAGUAAAUCCCCUUCAGAGGAUGCAACUGGGACGGCCUCCGCGGCAUGCUCCACCGCCUGCUCGCCCUCAACGCGCCGCGCCACGCCGCCAUCCUCGCCGCCUUCGCCGAGAUCUGCGCCCACCUCGCAUCGUCCUCAGCCCCCCCCCCCCACUGCCGUCGUCGGCGCAACCGCAAGCGCUGGUGUCCAAGUCCUUGCCCGCGUCCACCUCCGCCGGCGUACCAGCCGCCGGCCGCCGAGGUCGCGUCGGGUUCCUCCUGCUCCUCCUCCGGCGACCGCAGAAGUGGCGGCGGCGGCGCGCCACUGCGUUGCUCCCGCGUUCCCGAGAGAGACAGAGAGGGAGAGAGAAUGAGAGGUUCGUGUGCUCGGAGCCUCGGACAUGGACAGGUGCGGCGAGCGACGCAUCUGACGCCGCGCAGGCGUUCAUCGCGUCUGAGUCUUCUGGCUGGGAAGGCGAUAGCCUAGGUCGGCUCGGCUAGUAUCUCCGCUCAAGCCGUUUUCCUUGUACUUGAUUCAGAAAUAAGGCUCCUUUGUAUGACAUGCGGGCCACGGGCGAUUAACUUGGACAAAGCGGCCACUUUCGGGGUUUUUGUUACUCAUUAGCAUACAAUUAGUGGGUAUCAGUUAAAAACCUUUGGGUUCGUGAUUUUUUGUUACAAGAGCCGCUAGAUAUGUGUCUUUGUGCAAUUUACUCUAAUACUAAUGUGUUAAAUUUAAUUUCUUGCUUUGGUGGUUGCAUUUGUAGUGCUAGUUUACCUUGGAGUGAUGAUUGCCACAUUAAUUGCUGCCCUUUCUGGUUAACACUGUAAAAACGUCUCUUUUACUUGUUAAUGAAAAUUUAGCAUAGCAUAUACUCCCCCCAUUUAAAAUUAUACGGAGUACCAAGACAUUAUAUCUCUGUCCUAAGUCCAAUUUCCUUAAAUUUGACCAAGUUUAUUAAAAAAUGUACCAGUAACUACAAUAUCAAAUAAGUAUAUUACGAAGAUAUAUAUCAUGCUGGAUUUGAUAUAACUAACUUAGAGUUAUAUAUGUUGGUUAAUUUUUCUAUAAACUUGGUCAAACAUUAGUAAAAUUGACAUAGAACAGAGCUAGAACAUCUUAUAAUUUGGAACAGAGGUAGUAGUAAUAUUUUCCAGUGAUAUACACAAUACUGUAACAUUCAUGAUGCAAGUUAAACUAAUGGACUCAUUGUGAUUUUAUAUCUGAUAACUCAUUAUAAUAGUGCUAAAUGAUUGUUUUUUAUUAAUCUAUAUCUGAAUGGAUAUAGUAUUAAGAACGUAGAAUGUGCUGUUAAAUGAUGUUCAUAGGCCAUGUAAGAACGUAGAAUAAUUAUUUUUGAAAUUUCCAGUUCUUGUGGUCAAUUCAGGCUUUCCCUUAAUUGGCGAUAUCUUUGAACAGUAUUUUUUUCCUCAGUUUAUGAAAGAAUUUAUCCAGGAAGUAAGGAUAGAGAUUAACUCCGCAGUCUCAUCCAUAAUGUAGGAGCUAGCAUUCUCAUUGUCAUCUUGUUUCAACAGCUGGGGAAUAAAUGGAUUCGGACACGCUGCCCUUUGGACUCAUUUCAGGAGGAUAUAGCUGCACCAAGCAAUAUGAGUGGCAACAGCUAACAUUACGUCAAAGAGAACAAGCACCAAGGGACAAGCCCCAUUCUGGUGCAACAUUUAGCAACCUUGUGCAUAAACCUAGCAGGUUAUUCUUUGCAUUAGUAUAUGAAUUUAAGUUUUAGAUUCUAUGUCAUGCUCAUCAUGAUGUUUAGUUUAUCUGUCAGUUGUAGUUCUCUUGAUUGAAUCUUCUGAUGGAGUGACAUGACAACAGAGAUUUCUCAAUGAGGAUAUUACAUUUCCUGUAGUACUGUUUAUUCUUCCAGUUAAAUGGUUUAUUCCGUAAUGUAGGACUGAGAGGAGGAGUCCUUCCUUUGAUCAUGCUUGUGAUUAUGCAAAAGGAGCUGACACACAUAUUCCGUUUUUCAGGGGCAGUACUACUCAACAUAAACAUGAUCAAGAAGACCGAUAUCUGUCAAGUGGCAAGAUGUUAAUCAGAAAGGUUGCAAAUCAGAGUCUCCAGAGAAACAAUUCUUAUGGGGCUCAUAUUAGUGGACAUGAUAGAAACAACUACCGGAAAAGGUCCAGUAAUCAACCGUCUGGACAGAAAGCUAAGACUAGCCAAAACAGGUUUGGACAUCAACUGGCUGGACAGAAGGCCUAUGACCAUGACCAGCAGCCUAAAGGUUUCCACUCUCUUGGUGAGCAUGACCGACGGCCAUAUCGACAUCAUGGUGGUUCUGAUGUGAUAAGAAAUGACACUGAUCGGGAGGGAAACACUGGAACAACCAAGGAAAUAGGUCACAAUGGAACAAAAUGGAACCGCAAUAAUCCAACAAAAGUUAGAGCACAAGAGUGUGGUGAACGAAGAAGAGCUAAGAGGAAGCCAGAGCAGCCCUUCAGAGCUAAUCCAACAAAUGUUAGAGCACAAGACUGUAGAGGCAGCAGUCUUCUCAAACGUUCGCAGAACAGAACAGCCAAGCAAGGACAGAAGUUUAAUCUGGAGCUUGUGACAGAAGCAAAUCUGGGUGAAAUCGCACAGCAAAAAGAACAGAGUAAACUUACAGGCUGCCCACCGUCGACUGCUCGUCCAGAUGCCAUGAUACAAACUAGCGAGAAUAGCUGUUCUGAUACUAGCAAGGUACAAACUAGUCGGAUCAGAUGUUCCGAUAUUGGCAAGGUGGAUGGAGAUCAAGCAGCUGCUUUGCAUCCAUAUAAUAGUGUGCAUCAGAAGAUCUCUCAGCAUGAAGCAAUUAAGGAUGGGCAUCAGAAAGAUAUAGAGGAUGAUCAUCGCUCCUACCAGCCACUUGAAGCGACAUCGAAUCAACAGAUAUCUGAGCAGUCUGUUCCACGCAGAAAAAAUCCUGGUCUCGCUAGACCAGCUGACCGGACUUCACAUUUUGAGCAAGAACAGUUUGAGCAACCUGAGCCAAAUCAAUCUACAGGAGGCAAUGGCGAAAGGGAAACUGCAAAUGGUCCGGGUAUCUCUGAUUCUCAUGGUGUGCCACUGCAAGGAAGCAGUACUGUGGAAGAAAGUAACACAUCAAGCUUCACAUUCAAGCGUGGGCUUGGCAAAUUCAUAACGAACAUCUUAAACCCUCUCCAUGAACAUGGCCUCCUGUCCCCGGAGAUCCAUAAAAUUAUAUUGAGCAAAGCUGUAGAAAAGGUCACCCGCACGGUGGGCCCAAAAGUCCCUCUGACCGAAACAGAAUUCUGUAGAUUCUUAUCAAGGGAAGGUCAAGGCGUAAACACACUUGUUCAGGUGCGCGAUUCUAUUUGAAACUUUCUUCAAUCACAUGAUCAUGCAUUCUAGUCUGUGUUUUAUCCGGCUAAUGUAUGCUACAACUUCUUGUGUGCAGAGAUACUUAAAUUUAUACCUGGCAAGUGUUAAGGCAUAGUUGCCUGACAGUAUCUGACCAUGCAGCCCUGCAGAACCAUCCCAUGUAAACAUAUGAUCCUGUGAUCUGUUGGUGUUGUUUUUUUGUUGCUGUUCCUCGAUGAUCCUCAAAUCUUCUGUUUCCCGCAGGUAGCUUGUAGGAACAAACAAAUAGGUAGCGACUUUUGCGUAAGGUUCGUUCUGUAACGGUAUUGAAGUUGAAGUUGAAGUCGAACAUGUUGUACGUCUGUAACGUAAUCUAUGAUGCCCAAAACUUUGUGAUGAUGUGAUGUUCUACACAUUCAGCUUUUGUUUGCAAAAUGAUCGUAGGAUGAAGGUGCGGCGGCCGUCGAGAUUUUUUAAAACUAGUUUCCAUGUUGAUACGUUUCGAUGAUUUUUUGUUGUUGGUAGUUGGCAUAUUAUAAACACUUGGUUACCAAAGGUUACCAAGGUAUAGUUUACCGGGUUAUCAAAUUGGAUGUUCUUCCAUAGCCACGUAGGACUUGUGUUACUCGCUCUGUCCAAUAAAAGAUGUCUCAAGUUUGUUAAAAUUUGGAUGCAGAGAAUAUAAUACUUCGAUUGCCUAAUAUCAUCUCUUCUCGACAAAAGUUUCAAUACCCUCUUUGUCAACUCAACAUUACAUUACAAUACACGACGACAUAUCAGUCACUGCAUGGUGAUAUUCAUUGUUACUCUCUCCGUUUCUAAAUACUUGUCGUGGUUUUAGUACAAAUUUGCACUAAAACGUAUUUAGGAACCGAGAGACUACUAGGGAAUACUAAACUAAUGAUCGUUUGCCAGUAGAACAUGAUUUCCAUGACUCAUGGCACUGCUAAUUCCCCACGGUUACCAAGCCACAGUGCUCUUUGGACAAAGUUUGAUUACAAAUCGAACCUGGCAAAAUGAAAAUGUCUCUGAACAAGGGCAAUCUGAAGGCAAGCACAGCUGAUCUGAAUCAUGUAGAUUAUCGAGAGAGAAAUCUGAAUCAUGUAAACCAAAGACCACGAACUUUUUUUUUUGAGAAACAAAUUACAGGAACCUGCUAAUCACUUGGAAUUAUGGAAGUUUGAGGAGGACAAGGAUUCAAGCGGUCUGAUGAUAUUUUCUGUGAGUGAGAGGGUAAAGUACGUGAUGUGCAGACUAGUGACUGGUCUUAUCUUGCACAGGACUACAGGAGCAAUCCUCAGCGCCCCCCCCCCCCCAACCCCCCCAACACCCGCCGCCAGGCCGCCGGAAUGCCGAAGCCCGCGGCGACGUUGGCAUCCCUCCUCCUCCCGCAGCUACGGCACCGCCCCUUCCCGCCACCUCCGCCCCUCCUCCCCCGCGCCCUCUCCUUCUCCUCCACCUCUUCCCCGCUCGUCGCCGCCCGCCGCCGCUUCCGCUUCUCCCCCACCACGCACCUCGCCGUCACCGCCGCCGCUGUAUCCAACGUCGCCGUCGAAGCCCCAGCACCCACCGCGUAAGCUCCCCCUCGACCCCGCCCGCCCUUGCACUCUCUCCUCCGAACAGGAAGGAACAGCCGCUGUUAAUUCUGUUCUCCAAGCAGCACACGGGCGGCUGGACUGAUGGUAAUUGGUAUCUACCGUGCUGCAGGUAUCCAGCGUACGACAGGAUUCUGCCGUGCCCUGCGCAGGACGACCCUCCGAGGAUCGAGCACCUCGUGGCGCGGGAAGACGAGGCCGCCGGCGAUUUCAUCUCCAGGUCCCUCGGCCUCCCUCCUCUGUAAGCACUCACCAGUCAAAUCCUCUAUCCCUCUGCCACUCACACGCACACGUAGAGGCUCAUUUUGGUGGAACAUGAAAUGCGUAGCUCAUAGGGCCAGCGUAAGGGCGAUUUUAGUAACACUGUGGGCGUUGAAGGUACGUUGCAGACCUCAUCAAGUUCGGGGCCGUGUACUACGCCCUCGUCGCGCCGCAGCCGCCUCCGUACGCCGCUCCUGAGCAUGUUAGGAUCUUCAGAGAGGUGACCGAGCCGUCGGUCCUGCGCCGGAGGGCGUCCAUUAAGGGGAAGACCGUGAGGGAGGCGCAGAAGACUUUCAGGGUCACCGACCCCGGCCAGCACCUUGAGGCCGGCACGUAUCUGCGGGUUCAUGUGCAUCCCAAACGGUUCCCCCGGUAAGUUUAUGCAAGGUGUUAUUAUUAUCUGCUAGGAUGGUUUGCAGCAGUGAUUGCAAUGAGUUCUCCGGUGUGAACUAUUGUCAAUUUGGAGGGAGGGACCGAUUCAGUUUGGAUGCUAAUGGGUGUGGUUUAAAAAUAUUGUCAGGUGUUAUCAAAUUGACUGGAAAUCUAGGGUAAUAGCAGUCACUGAUAACUACGUUGUGCUCAAUAAGCCAGCUGCAACGUCGGUAUGUUUCUGUUCUCUUGUUUUUUUAUUGGCACCUAUUAUAAAUUUCCAAGGCCACAAAUAUGAGAAUUCAGAAUGCUGGUUUCGUUUCUGCAUGUAACUAUAUGGUUUCUAUGUAAUCCCAUUUUACUUAACUAAAAUGGUUGCUUCAUGAAAUUAAAACGUGACUACAUGAAAGUGCAUCCAUACCACUGAUGUAAGAGAAUACAGUACAAGCACGAGACCAGGGUUAUUCAUGAAGCAGGAUUUUUAGAUUCAGGUCUUGGAGCUGGUUGUUUGAUAAAGUGCACUAAGGGUCCAAAGUUCAUACUAACAUCCGAUGAUAAUUAUGUGUAGGUAGGAGGAGCAACUGAUAACAUUGAGGAAUCUUGUGUGGUUUUUACUUCGCGUGCAUUAGGAGUAGACAGUCCUUUAAUGACAACUCAUCAAAUUGACAACUGUUCUGAAGGCUGGUUUGUUUUUUACUACCCUACUUCUAUAAAACCCGUACUGUGGUAUGCAAUUAACUGACCCCAUCUUUUUCCACUUAAUUUUAAACUUUGCAGCGUGGUGUUGUCUAAAACCAAGGAGUUCUGCUCAGUUUUCCAUGGAUUGAUAAGGGUAAGUUACUUUAUUGCUGAAGGUAAUGUACUGUUGCACUGUGAGUCUCUAGCGAGAAAGUAAACAUUUCCUUCUGUAACAGGAAAAACAGGUUAAGAAACUUUAUCUCGCGCUUACAACAAAACCUGUGUCUCCAGGAAUAAUUACACAUUACAUGCGUCCUCUUAAUCGUGCUCCUAGACUAGUUUCAGAAGGUAAUCCCUGAAUUUCAGUCUGUUGCUUCCAUUAUGGUUGAGUGCCAAAGGUGUAGCUUCAGUCCUAGUAUACAAGUUUAUAGGUAGCAUUUUCCGAAACAUAUCAGAGUCUGAGUAAAAUAUCUGACUAUACAUAUAUGCUAUCAUGCAGAACUAGUAAGUUAGGAUCAUUCAUUAUCUAUUCAUGAAAGAUCAAUCAGUGGUUUACAUAUAACUCAUGUAUUGUACUUGUACGCCAGAUGUUGUGUGUGGCCUCAUCACUCAUUAGGUUGUGUCAUCACUGAUUGCAUGUCAAAGAAUUAUGAAUAUUGAAGUCCUUGACCGGGCAAAAGGAAUACACUGCUUACAUUUUGGCCUGACUGGUAGCAUUUAAAGUUCUGAACUAGCCUAUGGAUUGGUGUAAUGAUGUCUGGACCUUGGAAGUUUAUUCCAUGCAUGCGUAGAUAAUCGGAUGUCCUUAUAUUAGCAGAUUAAUGUUUUUGUUAUACUUUGUCAGAUCAUAUUGGAGGAUGGCAUCUUUGUCAAAUGGAGAUAUUAGACUGUACGAAAGUUCCAUGGCCAAAACCUUUGAUCACAAAGGUCCACAACGUGGACAACUGUGGUUGGCCCAGACAGGAAGCUGCCUAUGAAUGUAAAAUCAAUCUCAUGACAGGGAAAACUCAUCAGGUAUUGUAUAUUUUUUGAACAAAUUGUUUGUGUAUUUAAGGUUCAUCAUUCAUCCCUGUGAUGCUAUCAAUUCCUUUUGUAUGGAAGACACCAUUGAAGAUUUGAUCCUCCCCGCCCCCUAACGGUAGUCCAAGAGAAUCAGAAGUAACUGGCUGGUGGCUAGGAAUAGGAGACUCUGAUGUAAAUUGUAAAUCAAAAAUUUUCCAUUUAUGUUUUUGCAUAUCUAUUUUAUUCAGAACAUUAGCAUGGAUCAUGUGGUAUAGUAGUUUCAUGGAUUUAACAAUGGUUCAUUUAAUUAAUCUUAAUGGCAUACCAUGCUCUGAUACUUCUCAUGUUCCAAACUGGUAUCAAAAGCUCCCUCCCUUUCAUUCUUGAUGCGUCGAUACAGAGUGCCGAUGUGAGUUUAAAUAGAAGAGUGCCGGUGUGAUUGUGUGAAUACUGAGUACAAGAUCAUUCUUAAGCUAAAUCUGCAGUUGUCUUCUUGUGUUGCAUCGAGGUCCAGCAUUGCUUGUUUCUGAAAUUAAAUUAAAUUAACUGUCAAUGUGCACUUGUUUUGUCCAGUGGUACAAUCUGCCCCAAUAGUGUCUAAUCUGUAGAUGACAUGUUAUGCAGAUAAGAGCACAACUUGCUGCUAUAGGCGCUCCAAUUAUAGGUGAUUCUGCAUACAUGACUGGAGCAAUCGCAGCAAUGGCUAACCCAAGCAUAAACCCAUACGGCAGGGAGAGCUUGAAUUACAACAGUGAAGAGGAAAAGGCUGCUGCUGUUGAAGCCUGGGUUGCUUGCCAUGGCAAGGAACCGAAGUCCGUGAUUGGUCUGCAAGCAUCUGAGAUCUCAUGGGAUCACGAAGGCGAGCACCACUAUUACAAGGCAGGGGUCCCUUGGUGGCGGCAAGAUUCAGUGGAGUCAGACCUGGUCUGAACUGUGACAGCCAUACAAACGAGAAUUCCAGCUCCGGAGCACUGUCCCCCGAAACUGAAGUGACCGGUGCGAGUACCCUCAUCUGGGGGAGAGGGGAUAUCUUACUUGUCUGACAAAGAGAAGCAUGGCUGAUACACCAACACCGAUUUUGGGCCGGAACGCCUCGCCGACCGUCAGCACAAAUCUAACACGCCGAAGGUAUUCAGAUAGAAUGUCUGAUGCUGGACCUGUAACUGUUGUAAUCGGGGCAGAGUUGCUCUGCCAAUUCAAUUUUACCAGGGUUUACCUGGUUGCUGUAGUUUCUAAGAUUUCACCUGUCUGUGUACCUCGUACUAAACUGUCCCUGGUCCUUGUGUACUCUGCGUCGAGGUUGAAAGGAAAUUUGGUCCCCGUACAGAACUUUUGAGCGGAAGCGCUGGCGUGGCCCAUGCUAGAUUUGGGCUGCCCUUUCCUGAUCCAGUGAGGCCUAGAAAGAAGUGAAGGCCUUUUUGUUCCGUUUAUCGGUUGGUUGCUGUUUGAUCCUACACGCAACGCGGAGACCUACUCCAGCGGGAAACCACUCUAGAAGAGAGAUGUUUCACGUGCGUUCGUAGACGGCACUCGGGAGAAUGCUCCGGGGCCGGACCCACGCUCUAGACUGUGUUGACAGGGACCGUAGCAGCAUGAGAACAUGUUGUGAGCUUUCUUCUUACAAAAAGAAAAGAAAAAGGGGAGGGGUGAUGAUCUUUCUUUUCCUUUUGAAUGUUUAGUCCUUGCAAGCUGUACUUUUAUUUUUGAACCACAAAAUUUCACCAGCCCCACGGAAUCAGCUCGUGCGCCACAUGUGCAACAUAAGUAAAUUAGUUGGAACUCAAGGUUUAGAUGCUUCUCUGGUCAAUUUUGAAGUUUUCCUUUAGCUUGCCAAUUUUGAAGUUCCAGAACAAAGAUGAGCAUCGACAUGAGCAUACAUGGAAAGUGGGAUGCGCAACUCAUUUUCUAUUUAUGGAACAAAAAUGUGUUCGUUUCGUACAUGAAUGUUUUGUUUUUGGAAGAAAUGUACAUGAAUGUAUAUUUGGCAUUCUACUUUGGAGGGCGUCGCCAGCCUUGGAGCUGCUAGUGUUUGCUAAAUUUUGGCGAGCACUGCUAUGCGUACGAUCAUUUUCUGUACAGCACGACGAUUCGAUCCAACCAUCCAUGCACUAACACACUGCAGCCCAUCCACUAGAUUAACCAUCGUACAAAGAUCGUACGAGUAGGUGUCGUACGCACAGUAGUUUCGAAUUUUGGCAUGUGCACAUAAUGACAUAAAGAUGUAUAGGUUUGUUUUUGUCAUGUCAACCUAUGUUCUUUCUGUGUCAAAUUCCUCCUCCUUUUCCAACCGAGCUCUAUCAAUCAUGGUUGAAUUUGUCUCAUUUGUUGGUGAUCAUGUGUUGGUACUUUGAGAAUAUAAGCCGACCUGGAGGCUUUCAAAAGAAAAGAAAAAGGUGUUAACAAAAAAAAAACUCGGAGCAGACAAUGAAACAUGUACUGAUGUCAUGUUUUAGAUGCUGUUUUUUUUAUCCUCGUCAUCUUGGGCAAAUCCACAGAAAUCGAGUGUCUCCCAAACCCGUGUUCUUUCUGAAUCAAAAUUUAGACUACUCGAUACCGCCAACAAAAACACCCUUACAUAAUGAUCUUAACUUGGUGGAUGAUUUAAGACUAAGAGCAUGAGAUUUGUGUUAUAUUUGUGGACCAUCGACCUCUAAUAUAAAAAUCACGACUAGCGUGUACGUAAUCCACACAAUCCCAUCCAAUCAUGCGCUUAAAUAUAACACAAUUCACCUAAUGACAUGCAUAGCAUAUCACAAGAUUCGCAACUAAUUUGGAAAGCAUGUAUUUAGCUAUUCAAAAACCUCUAGUUAACCUAAUAUUUGGAAUUCAUCGUCCACAAAUUCGGAAAGCCUCCAAUCAGUUAUUUCGAAAUUGACAGUUAAUCUGAAUAAUCAAGUAAUUUAUAAUUAUUCAGAUUAUUUGGAUAGUCUCCCGCACCAGAAUUUUGUAUGCACUAGUUUUCUAGUUUAAACACGUAUGAGGCACUGCAAUAUACAAGCUCACCGGCUCACCCACAUCCACUCUACAACCAAAUCACGUAACUCCUGUCAUCCGCAAAACUUUGAUCAACAUUUGGACAGCUUGUAUGAGAUUAUGCAAAACUUUGACCAACAUUUGGACUACUAGCAUAAGAUUACGUUGACACUAAAACAAUUUGUCUAGUUGUUGGUUCAGAAGUUUGACUUUUUUCCUACACGCGUCCUACAUUUUCGGAUCAGAAAGGCAAUUUGUUAUGUUUUCCACUUCACGUAUAAGACCAUCUCCCACAAUCCAGCCAAAAGGUUACUAAAAGCAUACCACGUAGGCAUUUAGAUGACGUUGUGUAGAAAAUGUGUACCGAGAGAUGGUAACCGUUAUCGUGCGGAGAAACAACUUUCGCGUGUACCAAGAACUUAGCAUAGCUGUUUAUCCUUUUUGAGACACAGUUGUUAUUAAGACCUUAUCUCACGGUCUCCAUCCUCGCAGACUUGCAACUCUUCGUAACAAUUUAUUGAAAAUGUUGUUGUCGAUAAAUUGAGAUAUUCUCUGUCAUCUAAGCAACCAAGAAGUACUCCACUAUCCUAGCACUACCUCCGAUCCAAUAAAUGCCGAAGUUUUGAAACCUCUUGUCAGGGAAUGUCCUGCGUGAUUCGUACCUUUUCCCUUUCUCACAGCAAACACCUUCAUUGAUGCUACAAUUUUCCGUCGUAGGCCUUAGAUUUGCCACAUCCCCAAUUGGCAUGCAUCAUCGAAGCUACAUCCAACCUCUCCUAUCUCAUCAUUCUACUGUUUCCUUCUACGAAAUAUGUCCUUCCUUUUCAAAUCCCAACAGUUUCUGCGACAUGGCCUUAACCUGGUGGAUAGAAUUUCUUUUGAGGCAUAACCUUGUGGAUAGAUAGAUGAUGACAAGUUUGGGACUAAAAGGACCAUUGAACUAACACAGGCGUACCCCACACGCGGCGCCCUACGGCCUAGCAAAACAAAACUCCCUCCAUGGGCCAUCGUAGCGUGGUGGACACACAGAACGCCGUGAACCGCCCGCACAGACACAAGCACCCUGCUGUCUCUGACAAGCAGGCCCGUUCCUUCUGCCACACGACUCGCUGCCAACAUGGCCCCACCCGGUGAGAGGGGCGAGUCCCGGGAACAAAAACACAGCCAGGGGACGAGUCCCCGAAACAAAAACACAAACGCUCCCAGGAAAAAAACUUAUCUGCCCUCUAAUCUGCCUUACCAUACCCUUCUCUCGAGAGAUAACCACCCCCCCCCUCUCUUUCUCUCUCUCUCUCUCCCCGCGCCGCCGCCGCCCCCCGCCGCCGCGCGGUACCCCGCCUCGACGCACGCAGCUCUCCGGCGAUCGCCGCCGCCGCCCCCGAUCCGUCCCCUCUCGGAAAACCCGCGGAAAAGUGCCCCGGAAUCCGCUGGGCCCGUGUUUUUAAGGCCCGAAUAAUAAAUCCCCGCACCGCGGGUGGCUUCCGCUGCUCCCCCGCCCCGCGACGCUCGCGGCCGCCGGCGCCGGCGAUCGCGUCAGUGGAUAGGCGUGCGUGCGCGCCCCCCCACGCCGGGCCCACCCAGUCCUCGCGGUCCAAACCUUGCCCCCACCCCCUGUCGGGACGACCCGGCGCGCUCGACAGCCUCCUCCUCCUUCCUCCUCGCCUGCCCGACGCGGCACGAGGUGCGUCUCCUCGCUGCUGCCUUUUUUUUCACGGGUUUUAUAGGGGAACUUGCAGAGUUACUUGGUUCUAGGGCGUCGGGCGCCCCGGCUCCAGCGGCGCGGGCCCGAUCCGCGCCGCGGGUGGCUCGAUCUGGCCGCCGCCGGCGCCGAUCUGUCGGGCGGCGAGCGAAUCGGUCGGGAUUUAGGGUUUCGAAAUCCAAUUCGAAUUUCGCCCGCUCGAGUCUGCUCUGCUCGGAGCAGCCGUUGCUCUGCUCCCACUGCUCGAUUUUGGGUUGAGUUGGGCCAUCGCUAUUCCUCCCCCUCGAGAGUUUGAUUCAUUUCGUGUUUGUAAAACGACCCGACCAUUGCAAAAUCAUAAGAAAACAAUAGCAUUGAGUGGGUGGGGCAUUACAUGUUGGCCCGGAGCUACUCGAGUGAUGUUCUAAACUGGCUUCGUUUGAUAAACUGCAGGGAGCCAUAGACUGCUGACGCUCUCAGAGUAUCUUCUUCAUGUGCUGUCGUAAGCUGUGAUGGCAUUCUUCAGCAAUUCCGGGAGCAGGGCUGAUUCAGGAGGGUACAACUUGAACGAGAAGGCUGAAGAUGAAAGUGCAUACGAGUCUGUUGGGGAUAGGGACGUUGACCUGAACUCUAGCCAGUGGAACUUGAAUGAGAAGGCCGAAGAUGGGUACCACAGUGAGGAGGAGCAAUGCGAAGCUGUCCAGCCUGGUCCGAUUUCUUCUGAGAAUAAAUCAGGGCAGAAUGCCCGGAGAGUAGGUGGUCCAUCUGGCCCAUGGGGUACAAACUUUUUGAAGGAUUGCAGACCCGCACAGUCGGUUAAGGAAGACCCGUCAAAUAGUGAUAGGGGAAUGGAAGACGGGUCUGUAGCUAGCUCACAUGAUGACAUGGAUGGCAGUGGAGACGAAGGUGAGCUAAACAGAGGGCACGGGGAAGUGCCCGCCGAAGAAAUGCUUUCCGAUGACUAUUAUGAGCAGGACGGAGAGGACCAGAGUGAUUCGUUGCAUCGUGGUGGGAUGAGCCACCCAAGCUGUUCCAGUUCCGGGGUAGCAGCAAAAGCUGUCCCCUUGAGACAAAAGAAGAAAUCGACAAAAUACAAUGCUUAUGAUGACGACAACGAAGAUGCGUAUAAUGAUGAUAACGACGAUGAUGAUGACGCAGAUGGUAUGUUUUAUGUCUGGAGCCUUGUGCUCAGCAAAAUUAAUCUGUUGCUGUUGGGGCAUUGUUCCAUUUACAGAAGAUCCAGCUCACCGUUGAUUGCCAAUUUGUUUUCUUUCCUUAUUUGCAGAAGAUGAUCCAGAUGAUGUGGAUUUUGAGCCAGACAGUGAAACCGACAAGGCAGCUGUUAAGGUCAGUUGCAACAUAAAUUCUCAGUUUCACAUGAAGUGUAUCAUUUUAUUAUCUUGUCUAUGCAUUAAGUUACAUCUUCAUGUUAUUAUUUAGGCUAGCUGGUGCGGUGAAGUGUUUGUCACUGACUGAUGUGUCUUUUAGUUUUACUUGAUGCUACUUACUACUCAGUUUUUUAGUUCAUACUUAUUUUAAUUGAAGCACGAUGAAAGCAAGUGCCCAAGCUGAUCUAACUUGCACAAAAUUGAUUAGCACUUCAAAGAAUGACUAAAGAAAAGUUCACCGAAUUAUAACUUGAAGCAUCAGAUAAGCAAUCAAUGAUAAACUCUGCAGAAGGGCAUUGUGCAUAACUAUAGUAAUGUUCAAACAAGGAUUGAUGUAAAUGGAUCUAACCUUACAAGAAGAAUACUUUUAUCAUUCAAAAUUGUAAAGAAGGUAAUAUUAAAUAACAAUUGCCCCUGUCACCUUUAUUAAUGCAUUUAUAAACUUUUAACCAAAUCCUUGUAUUGUUAAAUUCAAUUUAUUUCCCUAGUUGAAUAUAAGGUUGCGUCACAUGCACUUCACAUUUUCUUGGGUGACAUUAUGGUUAAUAGCACAGCAUAUUUGGGCUAUAUCAGCAUUUUGCUUGUUUGCCUAUAUUAUUCAGGCUGACUCAAACUGGGGGACUCAAAUUUCAGGAUAAGCUUGUGGACAGUGAGAACUCUGCUGAAGAAGAUGAUGAUGAGCUUGAGCUCUCCGAUGAUGAUGAUGAAGAUGAAGAUGAUUUUAUUGAGAAUAGAAGGCAAUCUAAACGACUUAAGGUCGGGGGAAUUAAAGCAUCACAGCGAAGAAAGCCUCCCAUGCAGCCUCUACGCAAACGAGGGGCAUCUUUCACAGAUGAAGAAUAUUCUUCAGGAAAAGAUUCGGAUGUACCUAAUGAUGCUGAUUUCAGUCGCCGACCAAAAAAACCUGAUAGGCUGCAUCAGAAAACUGUGUUCCGUAAUAAUGUUUUAUCAAAUGUCAGUUCCAAUAAUGAGUCUCGGACUUCUGGAAGGAGGAGGACGCAGAAGAAUAUCUCAUAUGCAGAAAGUGAAGACAGUGAUGAUAGUGAGGAGAAGUCAACUAAACAACAAAAGGUGAGAGUUUGAUAUGGAUUAUGCAAGAAAUUGCUUAUGUCAUUGGAUGAUUUUCUAUUACUAUUUUUUAUCUGCCGUGGUAGUUGGACACUAAAAUUCCACUCGCUUAGUUGCAACAGAAAAUUAUUCAUAUAUUAUUUCCUUUCAUUUUUUCAUUUUUUGUGCUUACGUUAUGGUUGCCCUACUACAGCUUGAAGUUUCAUGGCCUAACUGUCUAUAAAUCUAUUACAUACGUGCUUUGUGCAUCCUCUUAUAAAUUUUGAUUACAAACCUCUUACAAAUUGUCAAUAUGUCUAGCUCUUGAAGGAGGACCAAGAUGAGGAAGAUGGAGAAACUAUUGAAAGGAUCAUUUGGUAUCAACCAAAGGGCAUUGCUGAGGAUGCCCUGAGGAAUGACCAAUCAACUCAACCUACUGUGAUGAGCAUGGCAUCAGAUUUUGAUGAACACUGGGAUGACGUAGAGUUUUAUAUAAAAUGGAAAGGCCAGUCUUACUUACAUUGUCAGUGGAAGACGUUAUCUGAGCUCCGUAGUGUAAGAGCUUACCUGGAUAUCUCAUUUUUACAAGUCCUGUUUGUAAUUUUUGCUGGUUGCACUUUAUCCCUUAUAGCUCUCUAGAUCUGUGUUCACAUUACCUUCCAAAUGGCAGGUUAGUGGAUUUAAGAAGGUUCUAAAUUACAUGAAAAGAGUGACAGAGGAACAGAGGUACAAGAGGUCACUAUCACGCGAAGAGGUAAACACAAAUCUAUUUGCUUUUGCAUUUUAUACGGUGCAACUCUUUGACCUGAAGGAAAACAUGGUAACUGUUUGUGUUAUCUCUUAUCCAGAGCAUGAAUAACAUAAGCUAAACUGCAAACGAAAUGUGUGUGUAUGCUUGCAAAGAAGAUACUUAUUUUAUUCAUGAUAUGUAAACUAAUAGUUUGUAUAGUAAUUCCUGUAUGACAUGCCAUCUGACUCUAUAUUUGGUAAACAUACUGAGUUUACAUUCUGCACACUGCACUGUUCAUAAAUGACUAUGAAGUGUCUAAAAUUGCUUGUUGUAACACGUUAACCAGUCUUAAUAUGAUGUUUUGCGCUUUGAUACUUUUGUUCCCAUCAGAUUGAGGCCUGCUGCUAAUAUGUUCAUCUUUUAGGUCGAGGUGCAUGAUGUGGGCAAGGAAAUGGAGUUAGAUCUUAUUAAGCAAUAUAGCCAGGUUUCACAUCAAGUCCAACUUAUUACGGUACAGUUUUUAUUGUUGUAUUUGUAUCGUAUCUUAAGUAUCAAUCUUCAGGUUGAACGGGUAUUUGCUGAUAGGGCAAGCAAAGUGGAUGGUGAUGGUCUAGUACCUGAAUAUUUAGUAAAAUGGCAAGGUCUUCCUUAUGCAGAAUCAACCUGGUAAUUUUCAUGACAUGGUUCUGGCGUCCAUUUUUAAGGCUAUGAUAAUGCUUUGCAUUGAUUGAAAUGAGUGAAUAUGUUAAAUGUGACGUGCCAUCCAUAUGCAACUUGUUUUGUUGAUGCCGUGUGCAUUCUAUUUCUGUUGUAUGAGGGCGCUGUUGUUUUUGAUUAAUAUUCAUUUGUGUUGUCCACAUGCUUGUGGUAUUGCAGGGAAAAAGAUACCGAUAUUGAAUUUGCUCAAGAAGCAAUAGAUGAAUACAAGGUAGACACUGUAUCCAAUCAAUAUGAGAUCACAUAGACUCUGUUGUUGUGUGGUGUAUAGAUGCAUACGAUUGUAUGUUAAUUGGGUUUACACCAAACGACAGGCACGCGAAGUUGCCACAGCUGUACUGGGGAAAACGGUCGAUUUCCAAAGGAAGAAAAGUAAAGGUAAAUUUUCCUGUACAAUUAUGCUUGCUUGCUUGCUGAGCUUUGGUCAUCUUCUUGGUUUUGAGGACAAGUGUCUUUCCUGUAGAACUGUGUAUCCCCCUUGUCGGCCUAGACAACUUAAAUAAGUUUAGAGGUCUAUCUUCUCUGUGGAAUGAUAUUUUCUCCUUUUGAUCUGGCAAACAUAAACUGUCUCUACUCCUUAGCUUGCCCACCUUGUCCAAUCGAAGUUGCUGAAUGUUUGAUGGUUACCGUGAAUACCAUCAUGUGAUGCUAUCUUUUUAGGAGUUCCAUUUUUGUCGACAUCUGAAGCACCACCACGAAUGAUCAUAGUUCGAAUGGAGUUUAAUUAGGCAAAUUGAUGAUCUGGUCUUGAGUUCUGUUUCUUGCAUCACCGGAACAAUAUUCGUCUGUUCAAUCUAACAUUAGGUUAUGGUACUCAGCUAGUUUGCGGAGGCUUGAUGAUCAACCAGAAUGGCUAAAAGGAGGUAAACUUCGUGAUUAUCAGCUUGAAGGCCUAAACUUUCUCGUUAACGGGUAUGCAAGAUCUAUAGAUGUGCAUAACAUAAGCAUCUUGCCUGCCAGUUUAUGCUCAUUGAUGAUUUGUAAAACAGGUGGAGAAAUGACACCAAUGUUAUUCUUGCUGAUGAGAUGGGUCUGGGAAAAACGAUUCAGUCUGUUUCCAUGCUUGGCUUCCUCCAUGUAAGUUUCUUUUCACACUGUUUUUGUUUAUGAGGUUUCUUGUAUUAACAUACUUGGUAUAUCUUGCAGAAUGCUCAAGAAAUUAAUGGUCCAUUUCUCGUCGUCGUGCCACUCUCAACAUUGUCGAAUUGGGCAAAAGAGUUCAGGAAGUGGCUGCCAGACAUGAAUGUUGUUGUUUAUGUGGGAAAUCGUGCCAGCAGAGAGGUAAACUUAGUAAAUAACUUAAUACACCUGGUUUGCUUCCAUUGAAGCUCAUAUUCAACCUAGACACCAUUUUUUAUUUCUGGAAACACAUUUUAUUUAGUGAUACACUAUGUUUGUAGUUGAUAUUUGCAAUUUAUUCCAUUAUUGAAUCUGUGGUUGUUAUCAUGUCCUUCCAACUCCUAUAUUUAAAGUUUGAUACGAAUUUACUGGUGUUUGCUUGAGUAUGCAUUUAUGCAUUAUGUAGUGCUGUCGGUUGUUCCACUUCGAAGACAUUGAGCUUUGCUUUUCUGCUAGUUUAUUUCAGAACUUUGGUUUUAUUUUUGGAGUACAUAACUAUCAAUUUAUAUAAUGUAGCUUCAUGUACAUAAGUGCAUGACGGCUUAGUCCCUGGUGCCCAGCCUGCUGACCAUUGCCAAAUUGCAGCAGCAAAAGGCCUACUGCCUAAACCACAACUAGUUAUAUCCAUGUCGUGAUUGACAAUUUUCCAAUACAUUUCCGGCAGAUGUGCCAGCAGCAUGAGUUUUUCACAAACAAGAAGGGUGGAAGGCAUGUAAAAUUCCAUACGUUAAUUACUACCUAUGAGGUGAUACUUAAGGACAAAGCCGUUCUUUCCAAGAUCAAGUGGAACUACCUUAUGGUUGAUGAAGCUCACCGGUUGAAGAACAGUGAAGCAUCGCUGUAUAUUGCACUUUUGGUAUGAUGGACAUAUUCUCUUAAACUAAGCAUAAGAGCCUUGAUAUUGGGCAACUACUGCAAAACGUUAACACUAUUCGUGCCCCCUCAGGAAUUCAGCACCAAGAAUAAGCUGCUAAUAACUGGGACCCCUUUGCAGAAUAGUGUUGAAGAGCUUUGGUAUGCCUUAUUUUCAUGUGGAUAUGUGCUAGGCAAAUUUUAUACAUAUGUACUGUUCAUAUGUACUCGUAACUUGAUCAUGCAAUAUGUGAGUAUGUUGCUAGCCGCUAUAUUAUGUUCUCCCAUUGUUGUUGAGUUGUUGCUUUUUGUAGGGCUCUACUUCAUUUUCUUGAUCCAGUUAAAUUCAACAGCAAAGAUACUUUUGUUGAGAGAUACAAAAAUUUGAGUUCGUUCAAUGAAACUGAGGUAUUGCGAAUGAUGGCUUUGUCUUCACAAUUAUCCUAAUAUCCUAUGCUGUUUGGUGAUCAUUAGUUGGACAUCCAUAACUCCCUUUGCUUGUUUUUUUUAUAGCUUGCAAAUCUUCACAAGGAAUUGAGGCCCCAUAUUUUAAGACGAGUUAUAAAAGAUGUCGAGAAGUCUUUACCUCCAAAAAUCGAACGAAUUCUUCGUAUCGAAAUGUCUCCUCUACAGAAACAGUAAGCUAUACUUUGUGUGAACUUAAUUUCAACAAUGCAUUUUAUUACUCCUCGAAACAAACCUUUAUUUAUAUUUUGCUAGGUACUACAAGUGGAUUCUAGAGCGAAAUUUUCAGAAUCUGAAUAAAGGAGUUCGUGGCAAUCAGGUAGUAUUACAUCUUGUGCUAACUCACUGAAUCAGGGUAUAUUUAUAUGUUCUAUUCAUCCAUGUGCCUCUAAAAAAUGUGCUGUUAAAAAUAUGGGCUUAUUUUGAUUUUUUUUCUGUUGAUGUUUUGUCAUUUUUCUGUUAACUACUGCCACUUCUCUUGUCUAGAAUCUGAAUUAAUGGAGUUCUUCAGUAUGUUAUUUUAAGGUUUCAACUGACUGUCGUGAAACAUCUUGUAUUUUAGAAAUGAGAAACAGUGCAUAAAUUGUGGUUUUGUUUAUGAGUCUUGUAUUUUUGUUAUGAGUCUCGGACCUUUGUUUCUUAUUCUGUUCUUGUUUUGUCUGGUUGACUAUAUUAUUUUAUGUGCAGGUCUCACUCUUGAAUGUCGUCGUCGAGUUAAAAAAGUGCUGCAACCAUCCAUUCUUGUUUGAAAGUGCUGAUCAUGGUUAUGGCGGAGAUAGCAUUGGUGAUCGCAAUAAAGUUGAACGCAUUGUUAUGAGUAGUGGGAAGUUAGUUUUGUUGGACAAGCUGCUAGUAAGACUGCGGGAGACCAAUCAUCGUGUGCUUAUAUUCUCUCAGGUUUGCUUUCUCCUUGAUGUCAUUGUGCAGUUUUACUUAUUGGAGCUAUUAUUUGUUUUGGAUAUAUUGUUACUGUUUGAACCAUGAAUUGUUUUAACUACAUAGCACCUGCCGACAAACCUCUCUGUAUUUUUUUUUGCUGAGAAUGAUACUUUUACAUAUUUUUCAUAGUUGUAACAGAUUUGUUGAGCGGAUUUCUUUUAUUGGGGGCAUUGAUAUGUUAGCGUUAGGAGACCAUGUUCCUCUCUGUGCUUCAUAUGAUUUUGUAUAUUUGACUGCUGAAUUCUGACCCUUGCAGAUGGUUAGGAUGCUGGACAUCCUGUCUGAGUACCUGUCCCUUCGAGGAUUCCAGUUUCAGAGGCUUGAUGGUAGUACAAGAGCGGAUCUUCGUCAUCAAGCCAUGGAGCAUUUUAAUGCGCCUGGAAGUGAUGAUUUUUGUUUUCUUCUUUCUACACGCGCUGGUGGACUUGGUAUUAAUCUUGCAACAGCAGAUACAGUGAUAAUUUUUGAUUCGGAUUGGAAUCCUCAAAAUGAUCUACAGGUCCUCUCAUCUUUCUGUGAUUAUGAUGCGAUGGGAUUCUUUAUUGAGUAAACAUUUCUGAUCUUGUUUGCUCCAUGAUGUCAUAACAGGCGAUGAGUAGGGCACAUAGGAUUGGGCAACAAGAAACUGUUAACAUCUAUCGGUUUGUCACAUGCAAAAGUGUUGAAGAGGAUAUAUUGGAACGGGCAAAGAAGAAAAUGGUGCUGACACUGAAUUGUUCUAUAUGAUGUUUUAAAUGAAAAUGAAUGAGAUAUGUUUAACAUAAUUUUUUUAUUACAGGUUCUUGAUCACCUAGUGAUUCAGAAGCUCAAUGCUGAGGGGCGACUUGAGAAGAAAGAAACCAAAAAGGGCGCCUCCAUGUUUGAUAAGGUAGUCUUUUGCUUAAUCUGACUAGUUUUCUUCGGUUAAUUUGGAUGGUAACUUAUUUGGUAUAUAGUGGUUCAGAAAUUGCUUGACUGGUUUUACAAGAUACAGUAUUGACUGGUUUAGAAGAUACAUAUGGAUGCACUAUAUCCAUCUCUGAUUUAAUGCAUUACAGUGACUAUAAAACCACAAGUAACUUGUCUUCUUUGCGAUAUAGCUUGUAAUCUCGCUGCAGUUUUGUCAAUGUUAUCACCGUACACUCCCCGUGAAAAAAAAAAGGAUAUACCACCUGCAAUUAAAAUUCAGAGGAAGGCAUAUUUAACCCUAAACUGUGUCUCUCACUAGUUACUCUUUUGUUUUUCAUUCCUUUAUUUUGCGCCUCUAAUGAAAGCUAUACCAUUUGGCAGAAUGAACUUUCAGCCAUACUGAGGUUUGGUGCGGAGGAGUUGUUCAAAGAAGAUAAGACUGAUGAAGAGACCAAAAGGAAGCUUGAAAGCAUGGACAUUGAUGAAAUUCUUGAGAGAGCUGAGAAGGUUGAAACAAAGGCUGCUGAAGGGGAGGAAGGAAAUGAGCUUCUCAGUGCUUUCAAGGCAUGUAACACGCACUGUUGUAGAGCACAAAUUUUUUGUUUUAUUCUAUGUGGUAUUUUGGGUAGAUUAUUUUUCUUAAUUUUUUGAUAGGUUGCCAACUUCUCGAGUGGUGAGGAUGACGCUACAUUCUGGAGUAGACUAAUACAACCAGAUGCUGCAGAUAUGGUUCAGGUAUUGACUCGGGCAAUUGCUUCAGUUGUUGCUUGUCUUCAGCUCAAGCAAAGAGUAACAGCAGGUGUUUUCUGCAGGAAACUCUGGCACCUCGUGCUGCACGAAAUAAAAAGAGCUAUGUUGAAGAUCACCAACUUGAAAAAAAUAGCAACAGGAAAAGGCGCGCCGUCGAAGCACAAGAAAAGACAAGAAGGCGUUCCAACAGAGCAGUUGACACAAUGGUUUCGUUACCAUUGAUUGAUGGAGCAGUAGCUCAAGUACGCGAAUGGUCAUUUGGGAAUAUACCAAAGAAGGAUGCAUCCCGCUUUGUUCGAGCGGUAAUCUGCGCCUACUAUCAACAUAUUUACUUUUUUUUCUGUUUUUCUGACUGGCCAUUUACUUGUAUUUGAGUAUGCUAUUAUGACUCUUAUUCCUUUGUUAUAGAACAGUAAUUGAUAGGAUGUUGUAUCAAUUUUGGACUCGUCAUUUCUGACUAGAAAAGUUUUGCUGCUAGUUUCUUCAUAAUUUUGGUUAUCAAUGUGGCAGUAUGUAAGCAUCAAAGUAUAUUUAUUUGUCUUUUUGCGCUAUAUUUGUUUCUAAUUCUCAUUUAGUUCAUUAUCAUCCUAAAUGUAAUAAUAAAUGUAUUGCCAAAUUGUUUGGAACACAGAUCUGCAAAAUGUUAACUACGGGUUCAUCUGAUUUGUUCGGCAUGGUAGAGUUUACACUGAUAUUACGAGUUCUUUUCCAAGGCAAAAUCUGCUGCAGCACUAGUAAUAAGUUAGUCUCUUUUCUAAUUUUCUGAGAUUUUCGUGUCAGUCCUUUUACGUAAAAGGUAUAAAUUGGAUUAAAUUGUUUUGGGAAGCUAUAUAUGUUAGGCACAUUUUUUCUGCCAGCUUCAUCUGUCUCAUUCUAAUAGUGAACUUUUAGGUUAAAAAGUUUGGAAACCCAAGCCAAAUUGGCUUAAUUGUGGAUGAUGUUGGUGGUGCAAUAGCAAAAGCUCCAUGUGAAGCACAAAUUGAGCUGUAUGAUUUGCUCAUUGAUGGCUGUAAUGAAGCUGUUAAAGAGAAUACUGAUAUCAAGGUAUAACCCGUUCUGAUAUCACUUUCUUUAGAUGAAAUGGUAAUUGUUAGCUCGGUACUUUUUCAACUUUUAUUUAAGUUCACUUUGACGUGUUUCAAAUGUAGGGCACUGUAUUGGAUUUUUUUGGUGUGCCAGUGAAGGCCUAUGAGUUGUUGGCCCGGGUCGAAGAGCUUCAGUGCUUGGCAAAGCGUAUCGCACGGUACAAAGAUCCAGUUAGACAAUACCGGAUCCAAUCACCUUACAAGAAGCCUCAGUGGUCAGCAAGCUGUGGAUGGAUUGAAAGUAAUUGCCGUUUAUCUUGGGUUCCUUCAAAAUGUUUUAAAGUAUAGGCUCAUAAUUCGUCCUUGUAUCUUGUUUAGCUGAUGACGCAAGAUUACUGCUUGGAAUUCACUGGUAUGGUUAUGGAAAUUGGGAAAAGAUACGGUUGGAUUCAAAGCUUGGUCUGACAACAAAAAUUGCGCCAUCAACACUUGGUGAGAGAGAGACAUUUUUACCACGUGCACCAAACUUGGAUAAUCGUGCUAGUGCUCUGCUGCAAAAGGUACUCUGGCCUUCCUACCUGUUCUCCCUCAUGCGCAUUUAUGCCUGUCUGCCUGCUGUUUAUGUGCAAAUGCAUCUUGUGUUGCUUUAAUCAUUCUGUAUGGGAGGCAUGCCUGAAAUUCCUAGUAUAAAUAUAAAAUUGAGUUGUGGUUUCUUCCUGGAUCGAGUUGAGGUCAUCUAUUUUACUCAUGGUUGGAUGUCUGCUGUCAGAUGUGAUUAAUUAUUCUUCGUUGGCUUGCAUCUGAAGCCUCCUCUUAUGGCUAGCUAUCCAAACUCUCAAGUUUAUCUCGAUCCACCAAGAUUAGUUAUGCUGUUCUGCUCACGGUAUCCCAGCAGACGUAGUUAUGGGGUAUAAUUGUUUUUAAGCAACUUGUGAUCAAUUUUCUUCUCGCUUGCUGUAUAAAUUGAUGCUUCAUGUGAAAUUGUUUGAAGGAAAUAUAAAUUGAUGCACUAUACGAAAUUAUUUGAAUAAAAUAUAGAUCGAUGCUUCAUAUGAAAUUUGCAUCAUGUUUCUAUAGUCAAAAGUUUGCACAUUUUGCAUGUUUGACAACUUUUAUCAAUUGACAAGAAAUUAUGUUUUUGUAGGAAUAUUCCAAUCUGAGUGGAAAGAGCUCAAAGGCCAGAGGAGGGGCUAGCCAAACAGUCAAUAAUGAAACUAAUGGUGGUGCAAGAUCGCUGAGAGGCCGGCAAAAAGAUCUGAAACCGAAAGAUGAUAAUAAGUCAAAUAAAGAUGAUAUUAAAAAACGCAAGGUAGUGGAACCUGAAGCAAGGGAAGAAGGUGAAAUUUCAGAAUCUGAAGCAGAGACUAAAUAUCGUUUGGACAAGGAGGAAAAGUGGCUCGAAUGGUGCUCUGAAGUUUUGGACGAUGAGCAGGACAUAUUGAAACGGCUGGAUAGGCUACAGAAUACAAGUGUAAAUCUACCAAAGGAAAAGGUUUUCUCCUUUUAUCUGUAGAUGAUGAUAAUCUGUUAUUAAAAUGUUCUUCAGAUAGCCUAACCCUAUGACCAUAUAUUCAGGUUCUUUCAAGGAUUCGUAGGUACCUCCAGAUAAUUGGUGAAAAGAUUGGAAAGGUCAUUGUCCAACAUGGGGAAUCUUACAAGCAAUCGCGUAAGUGUGUCAUAGCUUCUAACUUUAUUGGAAACAUGCAUGAUCUUAAUUUUGAGUUGUUUCAUGAACAUUAAGGCAUUCUUUGCUGAGCAUUGGGUUGGUACCUUGAAAAACGCACAUAUUCCAUCAAAAAUAUGCCUAUCUUUUUCUCGAACAAAAAUGAUACUGAUCUUAGUAAGUGCGUCUCUUGCAGGUAUGGCCUCAAGAUUAUGGAAUUAUGUGGCAACUUUUUCAAACAUGUCCGGGGAGCAAUUGCGUGAUCUCUAUUUAAAACUUAGUCAGGACCAAAUGGAAGCUGGAGUCGGCCCCUCACAUGGUAGCAAUUUUCAGUCCGUUCCUCCCAACAGGGGUGGUGCUUCCAAUCAGCCUCAUCCUUCUAGAAACCAAAGGUCGACAAGGUCUCUUCAGCACACUCCAGAGUCUCUUAAUAAUGGUGAGAACACUGGGAACUCGGAAGCGUGGAAGCGGCGUAGGAGAGCUGAUUCGGAUAAUCAAUUUGACAACCAACCUUUGUAUCAACCUCCUCCAAUCAUAACAAAUGGGAACAGGUUGCAGGAAUCUAGCAGUUCAGCUGGUAUUCUUGGUUGGGGUCCAGUUGAAGCCAGACGGUAUGGCAAUGAUAGACCAAAACGAGGUGUUCAUCCUAGCCAUUUCCCUGCCGGGCAUGGUCCUUUGCUUUAGCUGAAGUAGUCAACUUUGUCAGUUGAGCAGCAUUGUUCCUAGGAGUCUUCAGCUUCUACAAAGGUGAAAUGGGGUUUUGAAAUUCUUCUUGGGAAAAGAAAAGAACGAAGUGUCAAAAUCUUAUCUGAAGCACAGCUUUGAGUCUGUCCCUCGAAGAAAUGCCAGGGAUCACCGAGGUGCUGGUACUUUUGAGCUAGAUUUACACAAUAGAUUCCUCUAACAACAAAACAAAUAUAUGGGUCUUGUAAACUGGCACAAGGAAGAGUCCCAGAAAUUUUGUCGGUUCAGUUUUGUGAUCUAAUAGAAGUACAUUUCAGUUGGGAUCUUUAAAAGAAGAUUCAUCUCAACAAUGAUCUAUAGUUCAACCUCAAUACAUGUAUGGUCUUUGACAUUGCAAUAUAAUGAAUUAUGGUUUAGUUGAGCAUAUUCCUCUCUCUCUCUCUCUUUCUCUCUCUCUCUCUCACUGCAAUAUGUUCUCUAUUGAUGUAAGAAAGCCAAGAAAUUCAUAAUUACUCUAUUUUCAAGGCAACAGAAGGAUUUAGUGAGGAUUCAAGUAUUUGUUUCCAUAUGAUUUCUGUUAAGCGAGGUGGCAUGACUGGGUACUAGUAUUGCUUCCAGCUGUCAAUAGUGUUUUUAAUGAUAGGCAAAGCAGAGCGUGAUGCUUCUACAUUGAAGAGUGAGAACUAAUAGGUGGGGUUCUAUCUAUUUUCUACAACUUGUUCGCUAUCAUGUUGUUUGUGCAGUUACUGUGUUUGCAAUUUGUUUUGUUCCAGAUCCCGUGGUGCCUGCAAACUGAGGAAAACCUGUGACCUUUCGUGGUACAUCCUAUCUGGUUAGUAGCCCUAUGACAUGGCUAAUUUGUUUUUCAAUUUUUUUAGGUUUUCUGGGCACGAUAUGCUCAGGAUAAAUAGAAUCUGUGACAACUGGACGGGUGGCUAUACUGUUAAAAAUAUAUGUGCGAAACAUUGUAGAUUUAAAACGUGGCAUUUAAUUUAAAAUCCAUAGACAGGUCAUCUUGAUAUUGUGUGUAUGCAAACUUGGUAUUAAUGGUUACAUGACACAAAUCGUAUUGAAGACGGCAGGAUCUAUUAUCUUUCAUAUGUAUGUUUAGUCGCUUUAUAAUGUCCUGUUGAAUGAUGUUUGAGUAUUUGUUACGGAGUAUCUAGGAAAUGGUAUAUAGACAACACUCCUGCGUUCCUAAAUAUAAGAUGUUCUAGCGUGUCUUAUGUCAAACUUAGUCAAACUUAAACAAAUUUUGACUUAGGAUAAAACUAGAACAUCUUAUAUUUAGGAAUGGAAGGAGUAUUAGUAUAUGAGCAUUUGCAUGGCUUAUGUCCGCUACACUUAUGUCCAGCGGUAACCGAGCAGAAGAAAUUCUCUUAUGAUGGCAGUCACCGUAGUUACACGAGUGAAUAGCUCCUUCCUUUUUCAUUUCAGUUCUCGGCUUUUUCAUCUUUGGUAGGAGCCCUUAGUCUUUUGAUUAGAGUAGAGGUCGUGACUCGUGAGCAUACCAUACCACCCGACCAUAGUCGCAAGGAUCUUAUUGGUCGGUCGUGACUGUUGAAACUUCCUGGAGAAAACUUCGAAUUGGGUGGGUGAUCCUCCCAGUGAACUGACUACCCCAAACCGGCAGGGAACCAUGUAUUUACUCCCAGGGUGCGUCGAGAGAACCAUGUUGGAGGAACUCAGGGUCACCUGGUGUCGGGCAAUCUGCCUAGUUCAGAUAUUUUCUCUGCUUAAGGUUUCUAUAUCCUUGCUGUGUCGCCUUGUGUGAAGUGCUGGCUUAUUUGUGCUUGAAGCAAUUCGGCAGGGAAGCUUGUUGCGCUUUCUUCCGCCUGGUUCACAUGUGGUUUGAAGAUGACAUGAGCCACUUUGAAAUUGUCGACGAGUAAAGACACCUGGUGCUGUACUUGCUAGUUUCAGAUUUCUGCUGUUUAGGAAUUGCUUACUUACGUAACAAAAAAAAGUGGCGGUCUAAGUAGACAAGUGGUUGGCCUAAAACCCGGGCUUCUUUCUGAUGAGAUGGGCUAUCGAGGAUUGACCACACUCGGCGACACCUGUAGUUGUGUGUUCUUGAAAUAUCUGUAGUGGGAGAAUAUGUAAAAGCAAGAAUGUGAUAAUUGUCACGUCCAUCAACCCAAUGAGUUGUGGUAUGGAAAGCAGAUGAAUCAAUCUAAAUUGAACUUUUUUAGGAAGAGCAUGAUCUCUGCAAGACCAUAGCCAGUGAGAAUCGCCGCCGUUAAUUUAGAUUGUCCUGCUCCAGCAAGAAAUUCCAAAAUCUAUCCGUGUGUUUUGUCCUCUUUUACCCGCUUCGAGAUAAUGAGAGAUACGCAGACAAAACUGCCAAACGGGAUACUAAUCCAGAAGUAACACGUUACUGAACGUUCAGAAGUCACGGAGCUUUCUCUGGCAGUGCAUGGUGGAAGAAAAUGCUCACUCCUUGAGCUUUGAUAUUACAGCAUAAAAAUCGUGAGAUAUUUAUCGUGAUGGAUUUAAAGGUGAAAGGGAUGGGUGACCGGCUACAAGUACUCCACUCAGCCUUGCUAUCUUUCCCCAUUCUGCUUCCUCUUUCUAUUGCGAGAGAUAUUUUCUGCUCAACCCCACGAGACGGCGAAGUUUCAAGCCCGAAGCAAGAAGAGGUUCCGCCCUUACUUCCCUGUUCAAUUCUUCGUUAUAACUUUCUGUUGGAAAUCUCUCGUCUUUCUACUGAAAUCUACGAAGAUACUCCUAUUUGCAGAAGGGCGGUGUGCUGCAGCAUUCGUGUUGUUUUCUUUCUUAGAUGCGAUGGUGCCAUGGAGAAUGGAGGCUCGUGUGGCGGAGACAGUGUUUGUGAUGCUCUGCGGCUGGCUCUCCUCCUGCCUCGCCGUUGCCGGCGACGUCGCCCACGCCCUCAGAACCAAUGACCUCUCAAUCUAGGCCACCUUUGACACCAACGGCGACAAGGAACCAACUCUGCUUCUACAGACUGGCCACUUCUAGAUUGCAGACAAAGAGUUCUUCCGUAAGACAAGUUCGAUGUAAAGGAGAAAUCUUCAUAUAGAAUAGAUGUGAAAUCUUGUCACAAAGAAAGAGAUGGCUACUGCUCGAAGUGACCUGACUUUCUAGCACUACAAAGCUCGUCGACGGAACUACACAGAGAAAUAUCCGAUAAAAAAAACCUUGAGAAGGUGCAGCGGUGUAUAUACGGAUUCUAACUCAUGAGAGGUUCCAAACCAUCUGGACUUCGAUGUUAUCGCCUCCCGGAUGAUUUCUUGAAAGACUCCGGCUUCCGGUGACCUCUUGGAGCCUGCUCCUCAUCAUCAUCGUCGUCAUUCCCCUUCCUCCUCCUCUUCUUGCUGCCACCGUCCUCCUUCAAUUUCUAAUAUAUAGCAACAAUGGUGACAACAGAAUCAAUCCAGCUGUCAUGGAAAUAUUAAAUUGAUUGGCCUUUCGAGUACAUACCGUUAGCGCGAUCCUCCUUGAGUCGGAUAUAUGCUCACGAAGUAUCAUGAUUUCAUCCGCAUCUACCUUACGAGGAUCUCCAAUUUUCUUUCCUGUUAAAGUAAGCGAUGGCUUCAGAACAAAAUAAUCUCCAAUUAUGUGUGCAAGGGAGACCGACAAACAAGGAAAACUAUUACCAAGGAGCGCCUCAAUCAUCUUAAACCACUCAGUCUCGUAUUGAUUUACCAAAGAUACAGCAUAUCCUGAUUUCCCAGCACGUGCAGUCCUACCCACCCGAUGGAUAUAAUCCUGAAUUGGUGUAGUGUACAUUUAUAAUCAAUGACAAAAUACAAAUGCAUGAUCUUCUUGAAACUGAAAACAAUAUGCAUUGAUCAGCAAAAUCGGAAAUAUCUAAAGUAUAAACCUUAGAAUUCAUUGGGAUAUCAUAAUUGAUAACAGCAUCAACUCCUUGAAUGUCAAGACCACGGCUCGCCACAUCAGUGCAGAUAAGGAUGUUGAAAUCUUUUGCUUUGAACUUGUUUAAAGCACCUAGUCUUUUGUCCUGAUAAAGAAAGGAAAGGUAACAAUUUGAGGUGAUAAGUAUUAUUUAUGGUUAAAAGCAUGUCAAAAAAGGCACUUCGACUUCCUAAAUAGACAGCCUAAUUGAACGGGAAAAUUAAAUACUUGUCUGAUAGAAAAGUUAAGAAAGUAAACCUGACUCAUUUGGCCACUGAUAGAGAGAGCUUUAAAUCCAAGAUUCCUUAAAGUGAGAGCCAGGAGUCUUGUUGACUCACAGGUCCGCACAAAGAUCAUGAUCAUGCUCCCUGGUAACUCAUUGAGAGCAUGAACAAGAUAACAAUCCUGAAACCACAUACAAAAAUGAUGAAUGAACAAUAAAUAGAAAUGGUACUCCAGCCACUAUAGUGAAUUAAGCUAAUCCCGGCCAUCAGUGUAUAAGGAAUUCCUGGGCUUAAUCAGCAUGCUUAUAUUAAAGUGUAGAAGAAAUCCAAAGAGGUAACACAGGCAUGCGAUUUAUUACACAAGAAAUGGAACUUGACUCUUAAUCUGGUAGGGCGUGGCAUGAGCAUGGAACCACAGAUCAUGAUAUCAGGACAAAAAAGACAGAACUGGUCUCUUAACCUUAAUGUAAUUACGCAAGUAUAUAUCAGCCACAUGGCUACAGAGCCACACUCCCAGUAAGUACAAGAACUAACCUUGUAGGCUGCAGGAACAAAAUACCAUUCUUGUUUAAGUGUGUCCACUGUAGAAUAUUUGGAGGAUACUUCCACCUGGUACCCCCAGAUAAGUAAGUUGCUCUUCCUUUAAUGUGCUGCUUAUUAAAUGCUCGUAAGACAAAGAAACAAUGGUGUCACCUUAGCAGGGUUUCUGAGACAAGCACGUUGCAGUUUGGCUACCUGCGGAGAAAAUUCAUAAGCUAUUCUGCAUUAGGUCUAACUAAAAAAUUAGGUAGCUAAGCCAUGAAGCACCACCAGUGAGAAAAAUAAGCUAGGUCACAUGUUCAAGUAGUAGUUCUAGAAAAACAAAUAUACCACAAAUUCGUUACAAUAAAUAGAAUUAUAUGACAAACUAUCCUCGAUUGCAGUAUCUCAAGAAUAUAUAAAAUAAUUAUCAAACCAGGUAGCAAAUAUGGGACAUCAAUCUGAUGAUUCAACAUGAUGUUUUAGUACUUUUGUUUCACGAGUUCAGAGGAAUGGUAACAAAAUCGCUUUCCUAUCCACAAACCUUUUUGGUCAUUGUAGCUGAAAAAAGGUAAGUUCUCCUUUCUUUCGGAAUGGCCUUGAGAAUAUCAUCGAGUGAUUCCUUAAACUCCAAAUUAAGUAAUUUAUCAGCUUCAUCCAGUACCUAGGAAGCCAAUACGUAGAGCAUGUGUCAAAAUAGAAGUUUCUAAGUUCAAGCAACUUGAUAUAAUUGACCAUGAGGUAUGCUUGAACAAUAUCAGGAAGUAGUUGACAAUGAAGGUACUGAACAGCUUGGUCGCCAACAUACUUAUGAUCGGUAACAUACAGCACAUUGCUUCAACUUACAGCAGAGAAGUUACAACAAGUAUUUGAGCAUAUAGAACCAAGAGUGAAAUUGGAAACAAAUACCAAUAGGGUGUCAUGAUUUCUCUCCCUUUGCUUAGUAGUUAGUAUUGCUAGUUCACAACACACACACACACUAGUGACAUUCACUUUGGCAAAAUAGGCUUUAAGUAAAUAGAAGGAAAAUAUGUUUUAUUAUGUUGGACGUUUAGCAUAACACUUCAGGGAUGAGCUCUUUCCACAAAUGUAACUUCCUGCUUUGACAGGUAAAAGAAGGUUAGUGAAAAGCCACUUUUCUAUGCUACACAUUACACCGAUUUGUAACAAGCGCAUGUGAUUUUCAACAGUUAAAAGUCAAAUCCAACCAAAGGAAACUCUUGUACCCAACAUUCAGCAAUCAGAAUUUUCUAAUCAUAUAUGAAACAUCAGUGUAAUUUAUACAUUAAAAAGAGUGUAUGCUUCAUAACGGGUAAACCAUGAUAACAUAUUUGCCAUGGAUGCCACUAAGAAAACAACUAGAAAAUGCUGAUAUACAAAUGAGGCUGCGACGAAGGUGAAGGAUUACAAUUGUCAACACAAGAAGCCCAACAAAGAGACUGCAGAAUAAAAAAAACUCAAGUUCUUAAAAAAUGCAAAGAAUACAUACCAAGUACUUCACUUUGUUUAGGCUAAAACCUUUUGUAUCUUUCAAAUGGUCCAAAAGACGACCAGGAGUUCCAACCUACACUUUGAAGCAAUUGAUUAAGAAACAACCUUGAGUCCAGGCCAAGACCAUUUUUCGAUGUCACAGAAGAAAUUGAAACCUUAUGCAUGUGAAGUUCUUAAGUUUGUCUCGUAAGCCUAAGCCCCAUGUGUUCUAUACUGAGAACACAUCUCUACGCAAACUGAGAACACACCUAUGCUGAGUUCAGUUAAGUGUAGGCGUCUAGGCCUUAUAAGGAUGUGUUUGCGAGCAUGGUGGUUUCCAAAAAAAAUGCAAGCACUUACAUAAUAUUAACUUGGAUAUAUUACUUGUUCAAAAAAAAACUUGGAUAUAUUACUGAUCAUUAAAUCUCUUCUUUAGGGCCUUAAUAAACUGAAUGAACAUGAAUAAUAACCGAAGUCGAAAGGCCCAAUAAGAUGGCCAACUGGAGAAGCUUCAGCUUUGGACAAAAAGGCCUUGCUUAACUCAAUAAGAAUGACUAUACGCUAGAGCACAUGCUAAAGCUUUUCCACUCAGGGAUAAAAAAACGUGUUGGCUGUGGAUUUGGCAGCGCAGAUGCACAUGUGCCACCUACAUACUCAAGCACACUUGUAAUCCCACAGCACAGAGGAUCCACAACAUGCAUUGUCUUGGGUGUGGUUGAGAAAUUCAUUGAUCUUAAAUGAACCAUACUCACCACAAUAUGUGGACGUUUUGCAAUGGAUAACACUUGCUGCAUCCGAUCAACUCCUCCAACAAGCUGCAAAAAGGGGCAAAUGAUUAAAACACAGCAAAUUGCAUUUUCAAAUUAUAAUGAGCAGAAAUAAUCAACAUUAGAGAGAAUAGUGAAGCAGCUUGGUCGUAGUGGAAGAGACAUUAAGGAACUUUGAAUUGCUCGAUAUAUGCUUGUAUAGAAACAAAGUUAUGAUGUAUAGUUAGGAUCUUAACUGUAGAUAUAACCAUGGUCCACUAUGCUUUCACCACAUCAAAUUAGGCUAAAGAUAUUCAAAACCCAAAUAAGAAAUGUUAUCAGACCAGACUCUUUCUACACCAAAAGUUUAUCAUCACAACAUUGGCAACCAGUAAAUAAAAUACAACGAUUAGUUAAAUCACAACAAUGACCCACGUAAGCGCGCAAAGAACUGCCAACAUCCACAUCCAUUUGGUUGUGAUCUUCAUAUCAGAUUAUCAGAACAAAUAAUUCACAAGCAUUAUCAUCAUCUUCACAUUAUGCUCGAUUAAGAGGAAAUGUUAUCCAUUAAUUUAAACCAUCAAGCCCAUCAAGCCAACCAAAGACAACAGCCAAAACAGAUCAUCGUCAUAGACAUAACUGAACCAUCAACUGAGCGAACUAAUGGAACAAAGACAAUUUAGAGCUAGCAACACAAGUUCCAGCCAGACUAUGUUCUGAACUUACGAAUAAUAAACAGCCAAUUGUAGUAGUACCACUUACCACGGAGCAAACCAAGCCGAUCGCGGACCCGAGCGCCUCAAACUGCUCCGCAAUCUGAAUCGCUAGCUCCCUGAAGCAAAAUAGUCAAACAGUAAGCUUCCACGCGGGUGGUGAAUAAAAUGUGCCGCAAGAAGGGAGAGGGAAAAAAAAAGGUGACCUCGUGGGCGACAUGACGCAUGCGAAGAAGGGCCGGCGGUGCUCGAGCAGCGCCUGGAUAAUCGGCAGCGCGAACGCGCCCGUCUUGCCGGACCCCGUCUGCCCCAGCCCAAUCAGGUCCCUCCCUGCACUCCCCCACCCAAACCGGAAACUCGAGUCAGCAAACUCGCCAGCAUCGAUCACGACUGCAGAUGGCCGGCGGCGGUGCAGGAUUGCUGGCACGCAGGCAAACACGCGCGCGGAGGAGGGGUGAGCUAGGUAGUUACGGAGUACUUACCUUGGAGGGCGUGGGGGAUUGCCCCCGCCUGUAUCUUCGUGGGCUCCUUCCACCCCAUGGCGUCGCACGCGUCCACCAGCUCCCGGCAGAUGCCCAGCUCCGCGAACGUCGAUGCCUCGGCCACCGGCUCCGGCUCCGGCUCAGGGUCCCGGUCCGCCGCCAUCGCUGCUACGAGGAGGAAGGAGAAGCUCUUCUGCGCGCGUGCGUCGGCGUGUGUUGGUGCUUGGCGCGGCGGUGGGUUUGCUAUGACGGGACGGAGAACGAAGAACCUGGCGCGGGCAUUAAACCCUUGCGGACGGGGAGGACUAUAACUGGCAGUUGGCCAACGGGCCCGUGCCGGGCCCAGGGCCGCAUUUAAACGGGCCGGGCCGUUAGGACGGAAGGCAGGCCCAGGCUAGUUUAGCACGGCGGCCCGUGAAGAAAAUACAAAAAAAUAAAGAAAAAUGCUAAAACAGCCUUGCCAUGUUGAGGACAAGACACGGUCCAAGGCAGGCCGCGGGGCAGGAACGGCCCGUUUAGCCUCGGGUCGGGCCAGUCCCAAGCCGGGCCGAGUCUCUGUGCCUGUGGGCAUUUUGACCGCCUCGGGUUGCCAGCUAUGGGCUGGCUAACGAGCAUGUUCGGUUCAUUAAGAAUUCGGUUCGUUAAGAGCUCUGUUCGUUAAGAGUUUGAAUCGUUAAGAUCGUUAUCGUUAACGAUCUGAGACCAUUAUUUGGCUCGGUUCAUUAAGAGCUUGCGAGCGCUUGUUAAACUCGUUAAGAUAAAUAGAAGUCAUGUUGAUCUAAUUUUUUUGGCAUUUUUUAUUUGCUUGGGAUAAAUUUUGGUCUCAACCAAAAUAUAUCAAAAGCUCAACAACGCUAUAAAAAUUGAAAAUAGCACGUCAAAAGAGAAAUAACAACACAAUUAGAGCAUCAAAAUAAGUUGAAGUAGCCACUCACACGUGAUGUACGAGACGAGCUCGCUAACGAGUUUAACGAGCGCUCGCCAAGCUCGUUUUUUAAGAUCGUUAAGCUUAACGAUCUGAAAAGGAAGUCAUGCCGGACCCUUAACGAACCGAGUUAGCGAGCGUUCAAUAAGAUUAUCGAACUUUGAUCUUUUUGCCUAGGCCCUAUGACGGAGGAAAGAGUAAUAAGAUUGUAUAAUAACCAAGAUUGUAUCGGUUGCUGAGGAAAGAGUAAAAAUACUCCCUCCAUCCCAUAUUAAGUGACUCAAAUUAUUACAAUAUGUGACGACAUUCUGUUAGAAUACUGAAAAUGAUAAAUGCAUUUGGAAAUUAACAAGUUUGGUCAAUUUUCAGUAGGGUCUUUGUAUAUAGGAUGUUGAAAGAUGGAGUUUGUGGGUGAUACUCUGCGCCUGGCUCUCCUCCAGCCUUGCCGCCGCCGGCUAUGUCGCCAACGUCGUCAGAACCAAUGACUUCUCCAUCUAGACUGCCUUUGGCAACGCCGGCGAGAAGGAACCAACUCUGCGUCUACAAACUAGCCACUUAAUUUGGCGCCACAGGGCAAGGUGAUUGAUAGAGUUCUUCCACAAGACAAGUUCGAUGUAAAGGAAAAAUCGACAUAUAGAAUAAAUGUGAAAUCUUGUGUCAAACAAAGAAAUAGCUACUGCUCAAAGUGUCCUGAUUCAUAGCUAGUGUAUCAAAAGGAACUACAUAAACAAAAUUUUGAUACAGCCUUGGGAAGGUGCAGUGGACAGCGGUGUAUAUACGGAUUCGAACUCGUAUGAGAGGUUCCAAACUAUCUGGACUUCAAUGUUAUCACCUCCUGGAUGAUUUCUUGAAAGACUUUGGUUUCCGGUGACCUCUUGGAGCCUUCUCCUCUUCUUCAUCGUCAUCAUCAUCCUGCUUCCUCCUCUUCUUGUGGCCACCGUCCUCCUUCAAUUUCUAAUGUACAAAAAAAAUGGUGACAUGGUAUCAAUCGAGCUGUCCGGGAAAUAUUAAAUUAAUAGGCCUGUCGAGUACAUACUGUUAGCGCAAUCCUCCUUGAGUCGGAUAUAUGCUCACGAAGUAUCAUGAUUUCAUCCGAAUCUACCUUGCGAAGAUCAAUUUCCUUUCCUGUUAAAGUAGGCAAUUGCUUCAGAAAAAAAAAACUCCAAUUAUGUGUGCAAAGGAGACAAACAAACAAGGAAAACUAUUACCAAGGAGCGCCUCAAUCAUCUUAAACCACUGGCCCUCAUAUUGAUUUACCAAAGAUACAGCAUAUCCUGAUUUCCCAGCACGUGCAGUCCUGCCCACCCGAUGGACGUAAUCCUGCAUUGGUGCAGUGCACAUACAUAAUCAAUGACAAAGUACAAAUGCACGAUCUUCUUGAAACUGAAAACAAUGUGCAUUGAUCAGCAACAUCAGAAAUAUCUAAGACCUUAGAAUUCAUUGGAAUAUCAUAAUUGAUAACAACAUCAACUCCUUGAAUGUCAAGACCACGACUCGCCACAUCGGUGCAGAUAAGGAUGUUGAAAUCUUUUGCUUUGAACUUGUUUAAAGCACCUAGUCUUUUGUCCUGAUAAAGAAAAGGAAGGUAACAAUUUGAGGUGAUAAGUAUUAUUCAUAGCUGUAUGUCAAAAAAGGCACUUCGACCCUAAAUAGACAGCCUGAUUGAAUGGUAAAUUAAAUACUUGUCUGAUAGAAAAGUUAAGAAAGUAAACCUGACUCAUUUGGCCACUGAUAGAGAGAGCUUUAAAACCAAGAUUCCUUAAAGUGAGUGCCAGGAGUCUUGUUGACUCACAGGUCCGUACAAAGAUCAUGAUCAUGCUCCCUGGUAACUCAUUCAGAGCAUGAACAAGAUAACAAUCCUGAAAUAGCAUACAAGAAUGAUAAAUGGAUAAUAAAGGGAAAUGGUGAGAAUGAAUUAAGCUAAUCUCGGUUAGGAGGACAGUUUAUUCAAUGUAUAAGGAAUUUCUGGGCUUAAUCAGCAUUAAUGUAACUCGGAGUAAGUUACCAUAAUAACUACCACAUUGGCACAGAGCCGCAGUUCGAUUAAGUACAAGAACUAACCUUGUAGGCCGCAGGAACAAAAUACCAUUCUUGUUUAAGUGUGUCCACUGUAGAAUAUUUGGAGGAUACUUCCACCUGGUACCCGCAAAUAAGUAAGUCUAUUAGUAAAGUUCCUAAUCCAUUAAUGUUUUUUUGCUUAUAAAAUGCUCAGGAGACAAAGAAAGAAUGUUGUCACCUUAACAGGGUUUCUGAGACAAGCACGUUGUAGUUUGGCUACCUGUGGAGCAAACUCAUAAGCUAUUCUGCAAUAGGUCAUGCGAACUAGCCAUGGCUACAAAGAUUCUCAUUUUAAGGACAUGCUCAAGUAGUAUUUCGAGAAAAACAAAUACAGCACAAAUUCGUUACAAUAAAUAGGAUUAUACCCAAGAAUUUAUAGAAUAAUUAUCAAACCAGGCAGCAGAUAUGGCUACAUCAAUAUGAUGAUUCAACGUGAUGUUCCAGUAAUUUUGGUUCACGAGUUCAGAGGAAUCAUUCGCUUUCCUAUCGACAAACCUUUUUGGUCAUUGUAGCUGAAAAAAGAUAGGUUCUUCUUUCUUUAGGAAUAGCCUUGAGUAUAUCAUCCAGAGAUUCCUUAAACUCCAAAUUAAGUAAUUUAUCAGCUUCAUCCAGUACCUACGAAACCGAUAAAUAGAGCACGCGUCAAAAUAGAAGUAUCCAAGUUCAAGCAAGUUGAUAUAAUUGACCCAAUGUGCUCCAACAAUAUCAGGAAAUAGUUGACAAUGAAGUUACUGAACAGCUUGAUCGGUAACACAUAGCACAUUUUUACGCAAAAAAAGGGUAACACAUAGCACAUUGCUUGAACUUACAACUGAGAAGUGAGAACAAAUAUUUAAGCAUAUAGAACCAUGUGUGAAAUUGGAAAGAAAUACCAAUAGGGUGUCAUGAUUUCUGUCCCUUCACUUAGUAUUGCUAGUCCGCAACACACACACACUAGGGAUUUUCACUUUGUUAAAAAUAGGCUUUAAGUAAAAAGAAGGAAAAUGUAUUUUAAUAUGUUGGAUGUUUAGCAUAACAAUUCAGGGAUGAGCUCUUUCCACAAAUAUAACUUGCUGCUUUAACAGGUAAAAGAAGGUUAGUGAAAAGCCACUUUUCUAUGUUACACAUUACUCCGAUUUGUAAUACUGGUUCUAUCUGUCACAAGCACAUAUGAUUUCAACAGUUAAAAGUCAAAUCCAACUAAAAGAAACUCUUGUACCCAACAUUCAAUAAUCAGAACUGUCUAAGCAUAACUGGACCAUCAGUAUAAUUUAUACAUUAAAAAGGAGUAUAUGCUUCAUACUGGGUAAAUCAUGAUAACAUAUUUGCCAGGAAUGCCACUGAGAAAACAACUAGAAAAUGUUGAUAUAUAAAUCAGGUUGCGCGAAACCUAAUAUAAGCCCAACAAAGAGGCCACAGAAAUAAAAAAACCUGAGUUCUGAAAAAUGCAAAGAAUAUAUACCAAGUACUUCACUUUGUUUAGGCUAAAACCUUUCGUAUCUUUCAAAUGGUCCAACAGACGACCAGGAGUUCCAACCUACACUUCAAAGGAAUUGAUUCAGAAAACAGGCUUGAGUCCAGACCAAGAUAGUUUUCCGAUGUCACAGAAGAAAUCAAAACCUUAUGCAUGGGAAGUUCUUAAGUUUGUCUCGUAAGCCUAAGCCCCAUGUGUUCUAGACUCUAGAGAAACACAUAUACGCUGAAUUCAAUUAAAUAAAGGCAUGUCUUAUAAGGAUGUGUCUGUCAGCAUGGUGGCUUCCAAAAAUUGCAAGCAUUUACUCCCUCCGUUCCAUAAUUCUUGUCCCAAAUUUGCUUAAAUAUGGAUGUAUCUAUUCCUAAAAAGUGUCUAGAUACAUGUAAUAUUUCGACAAGAAUUAUGGAACGGAGGGAGUACAUUAUAUUAUCUUAGGUAUAUUAUUACAGAUCAGUAAAUCCGUUCUUUACGGCCUUAAUAAACAGAGUGAGACUAAAUAGUAACCUAAAUCAAAAGGCUCAAUUAACUGGCCAAUUGGACAAAAAAUCCUUGCUUGACUCAAUAAGAAUUACUACAAGCUAAUGCCCAUGUCAGAGAUUUUCCACUCCGGUAUAAAAAAAUGUGUUGGCUGUUGAGUGUGGAUUUGGCAGCAUAAUUGCACCUACAUACUAAAUCACACUUGCAAUCCCACAGCACAAAGGAUCUGCAACAUGUAUUGUCUUAGGUGUGGUAGAGAAAAUCAUUGAAUAUAAAUCAAUCAUACUGACCACAAUAUGUGGACGUUUUGCAAUGGAUAACACUUGCUGCAUCCGAUCUACUCCUCCAACAAGCUGGAAAACAGGGGAGAUGAUUAAAAUCAAGUAGCUAGUGGCAUGGUAGACAAAAAACACAUCAGUGCAUUAGAAAAACAGCAGAUUGCAUGUUCAAAUUAUAGCAGAAACAAGAACAUUAGAGAGAAUAGUGAAUCAGAUUGGUUGUGGUGGAACCUUGAAUUACUCGAUAUAUGCUUGUAUAGCAACAAACUUAAGUUGUAUAGUUAGGAUCUUAAAACUGUAGAUGCAACCAUGGUCCACUAUGUUUUCACCAUAUCGAAUUAGGCUACAGGUAUUCAAAAUCCAAUAAGACGGAAUGUUACUAGGCAACCGGUAAAUAAAGACCAAUAGAGCAACACAAGUUCCAGCCAGACUAUGUUCUGAACUAUGAAUAAUAACAGCCCAUUGUAGCAGUUCCACUUACCACGGAGCAAACUAAGCCGAUCGCCGACCCGAGCGCCUCAAACUGCUCCGCAAUCUGAAUCGCCAGCUCCCUGGACACAAAAGCCGCACAGUAAGCUUCCACAUGAGCUCAAUAGAGGAAAAUGUGGCCCAGAAUGGGGGCAAAAAAAAGGUGACCUCGUGGGUGACAUGACGCAUGCGAAGAAGGGCUGGCGGUGCUCGAGCAGCGCCUGGAUAAUCGGCAGCGCGAACGCGCCAGUCUUGCCGGACCCCGUCUGCCCAAGCCCAAUCAGGUCCCUCCCUGCAGUUCCCCAGCAAAACCGAAGCUCGAAUCAACAAUCGGCAGCAUCACAGCUGCAAAUGGCCGGCGGCGGCACUUGAUUGCUGGCACGCACGCACGAACGCCCGCGGAGGGCUGAGCUAGCUAGUGAUAUUACUUACCUUGGAGGGCGUGGGGGAUGGCCCCGGCCUGUAUCUUGGUUGGCUCCUUCCACCCCAUGGAGUCGCAAGCGUCCACCAGCUCCUUGCAGAUGCCCAGCUCCGCGAACGUCGACGCCUCGGCCACCGGCUCCGGCUCCAGCUCAGGCUCCCGCUCCACCGCCAUGGCUGCUUCCGAGGAGGAGUAGAGAAGCUCUUCUGUGCGUGAGUGCGGGCGCGCGUGCGUCGGCGAAAGGGGCGGCUUGUGUUGGUGCUUGGCGCGGCGGUGGGUUUGUUAUGACGGGAGGUAGAAGGAAGAACCUGCAUUAAACCCUAGCUGACGCGAGGAGACAGAGGAAGGGGAAAGCUUUCAAUGGGCUGGGCUGGGCUUGGCUGGCAUGCUCGGCCCAACGACAUGAACCGCCAUGUAAAUAUACGACCAUGGGCUUCUAAGCCCGCGCCUUUGAUUGCCUCGUGCUGAUCCUUUGAUUGUGGCCCACUGCCAGGACCCUUGUUGAUGAUGUUUCCAGACCGUUGGCUGUUAGGAGGGAGACGGCUGUCUGGACCUGUACAUAUGUCUGCUGCUUGGCCACCGAACGACAUGAGAGCAUCUCUAGCACACAGCGAAUACAGCCCGAUCCAAAAAAUAACCGCCGUUUUUCGGUUUUUUGGAAAAAAAAUCCCUAGUAGAUACCGAAAACCGAUCCUGAUCCGAAAAAACUUUUCGGGGAUCCGAACUCACGAGCGAAAAAUUCCUAAACGAUCGGGACACGAAUCGGUUUUCACUUCCUCACCGAUCUCGUAAAAAACGGUUGGAGCUCACCCGCACGUUUUAUUUCCACCUGACUGCUUCAUCUUCCUCCUUUGGCCGCCGCCAACCCGCCUCCUCGGGCCGUCGCUCCCUCCAGCCAUGGCCUGGUGCUCCGCGCCUUGCUCAGGCUGACGCUCCCCCCCCCCCCCCCGGGCAUGGCCUGCUCGCCCCGCCGCGCCCUGCUCGCCCCUCGCCCCACGCCCGCCGCUCCUGCUCUCGCACCGCCCCCAUGACCUCCUCUCUGGCCGUCCGCCGCUGGUUCUGCGGCUGCUCGCCGGUUGCUGUGUGUGAGAAAUUCGGGUCGAAUUUGAUCUGUAUGGGUGCGAAUUUUCCGGUCGAAUUUGGUUUGUGUGUGUGCAUAUUUGGAUGAAUUGUCGAACUGUCGAGUUUUAUCUAACGAAUUGUCGUUUUUCGUUUCGGUAUCUUUUUACGGUUUUGCGCGGACUCGGGUAGAACAGUUACCGAAAACCACCUUUUCGGGUCAGUUUUCAGAUUAUGUUCUGGCCGGGUAAAAAUGAAAACGAAAUCCACUGAUUCGUUAUACCGAAUACACGUUUUUUCGGUUCGGAUUUUUUUAGUUACUGCUAGAAGUUGCUCGAGGUACUAUUAGUAGCUAGCAGCCCGGCUGAUCGAGCUGAUGCAUGCACUGCAUGCAAUACCAUAUGUGUGCACAGUUCCCUGAAGAUUACUGCUUAUAUACUAACAUGAACAGAGAACUGAAACUCAUCUUGAAAAAAAAAAAGGAAUGUGGUCUUGUAUUUUCCACCGAGAAAAUUUACUGCCACAUGAAGCCCUGAGAAGAUAUUUUGUUCCCUUCUUUUGAGCUUGUUAUCUAAUUUAUGUAGGAAAAGAUUGUGCUGCCCCUGGAACUGAACUGUGGUUGUUAAUAUGGUAUUUUUGACUGUUUUACCAUAUCAAUGACAAUUAAAGUAAAAGUUGAACAUAAUAAAAUAGUACAUAUUACAAGUCUAACAAAAGGAAAAGUCUCAAAUGUCUGAUUUUACACAAUGAAAAUAAAUUGCAUAUGCUGAGAAGAGGCUAAACUUGGUGUGACAGUUGGUUAACUUUUUUUAGAUUGUUGUCUACUUUGCAGUUUUGCCAACAAUUCUAUAAAGUCCAAUGCAUAUGUUAACCUGACCUUGAUCAGUAAAAGUCCCAUGGAUAUGUUAACCUGACCUUGAUCAAUAAAGCUAUGAUGAAAGGAGGAAAUAGCACAUCAAUCCAGUUUGAAAUUAGAUCAGCACACGUCUGGAGUAACCUGACCUUGAUCAGUAAAAGUCCCAUGGAUAUGUUAACCUGACCUUGAUCAGUAAAAGUCCCAUGGAUAUGUUAACCUGACCUUGAUCAAUAAAGCUAUGAUGAAAGGAGGAAAUAGCACAUCAAUCCAGUUUGAAAUUAGAUCAGCACACGUCUGGAGAGAGAAACAUGAGACUUGCAUGCAUAAGAGAGAAAUUAGUGCAUCAUCCCAACACUGACCAUGCUGUAAUCUCGUCAUCCUAAUUUCAACAAUAGAGCCGGCGACAGAUCCCGGGGAGAUGGUGCGGACGCCGGUUGCGGGGGAAAUGGGGAAGGCCGCCGGCGGUGGGGAGGAGGGGCAGGGCGGCCGGAGGUGGGGUGGGAGAGGAGCGGCGGCAACAGUGGAGAGGAGCCCAAUCCCGCUAGGGUUGGGCGAUGGGGAGGACGACUGCACGCGAGCGGGUCAGGUCUGCGUGUUUUUUCUGGAUGAACUUGGCGAUGGCAUUUUGGUCGUAAAAACGGUUCGCCGUGGGGGCAAGCCCGAAAAACUGGUCUUGACUGGUUUCUGGUAGCAACUCCUUUAAACGUGAUUUGGGUUGGCCUUCUGGUAGCAGCCCGUGAGAAAAAAAAAUUUCUUUCUUUUUCAGCUUCAGUUGCCGGGAACCUAAAAGCUGGCCCAGAAGCUCAAAGAAGGGGGCUAUAUGGAAACAUCCUUGGUUCCAUUGAUCCAGUGAGGCUGGGGGCUGAGUUUUUGCACAUCGAUAGUUUUGAAUUGCUUUGUUGACUUCGAUCAUUAAUUAUUGGUCCCUUAGGGCAACUCCAGUGUCCCUAAUUCAUCCGGCAAUAGAACUCCAUAUUGCGAUGUCUUAACCAAAUCAAUCAUCAAAGUCUUUACAAAUUUCUCUUGGACAUAUUAAUGAAAAAAGAAGAAGAAGAAGACGGCCUCCCCCGCCCGCCAUAGCCAAGGACCUAACAAAAAAUAGUUUUUGUGUUACAGAUAGGACACAAAAUAAUACGUACCACGCACUAGGGAAGACCACUUAUUUGCACGGAUUCUGCACAUUUUUUGGUUGUUCAAAGAUGUGCACACUAGAGGAUAUAUAGUGUCCCGGCCGUUUGGAGUAUCCGGAUAGAUGAAAUUCCUCGGUUUUAAACAACAAGGUCCGACCAUGCAAAUUAAGCUUUCUACUGAAACAAUUGAGUGUACGUAGUCGAGAUAGAAAAGGUGUGAGUUCCAAGGAACUCAAUCGAAAACUCAAACACGAUCCAUACACAGGUUUUGCGCAGCAAAGUGUUGGCUGCUUUUCGGGGUUUUUCCUUUUCUUUAUUCAUCAUUCAUAUAUAAGAUAAACGAGAGAAGCGGUGUCACGAUCUGGACUGGCCGUGCCAUCCCACGACGAAUCGUGCGAGCUACAUGUGUGUAACAAAACAGCGACAAGUAUUUAGAAACUGAAUGAGUACGAGGCAAUGCAGUAACGAAAAGCGUACGUGAUAUAUAGGAAAAAUUAAAAACAAUGAAGAAUCGAUGCAAAUUAAGCUAGUACGUGCUGGCGGCGAUGAAUGAAGGGGCCGGAUUAAUUCAGGCGGACGUACUCUCCGCUGAAUUGGUCACCCAGUGUGAUCUUCUUCAAGCCGCCCGCCGUAUUGACCCGCUGAUUAUGAGGUUCACGGACUGCAGCUUCACCACCAGGUCCUUGACGACCAUGUGCUUGUGGAUAUAAGAAGGCCGCGAGAACGUCGACGUCAGCUUCGUCACGUCGGUAACAUCAUUGUACGCGCCUCCCGUCCAAGUAGCAGCACAAAGAGGAGCGGCGGGAGGGCGCGAGAUAUCUUGGAGGAUCUAUAUACGUACACAGGCAGGUAUUAUACAUUGAGAGAGACCGGAAAAAAGGUCCAUAUAUAAUACAGUAAGUGUUUCAGUAUAUAAUGGAUCGGAUGAAGUAGUACUGUAAUUAACAUGCAUGAUAGAUAUGGAUCAACUUGCCGUGGCGUCCUUGUCCGAUCCGAAGCCAAACGUCUCGACGGCGUAGUCUAUGACGCGGACCAGCCGAGCGUUACCUAUGUUCUCAGCUCCGUCGGACAGGAGAAAGAUAACACCCUGAUGGUCCGUUCUCUCACGUUCUUGGAGGACCCGGAGGCCUGCCUCCAUAUUGGUCCACCCGUCCGCUUUAAUGUCUUCCCUUAUUAUACGUGACGCUUCUUUCUACUCGACUGGACCCAUCAAGGUCAGGUCGUACUUGAGAUCAGCAUCGUCACUGAAGGUAACGAUGCACAAGCGGUCAAGGCCGCGGAGCCAAGAGAUGACCUUCUCCAUGCCUUUCUUCAGAUUCUCCAGCUUAUCCCCCGCCAUGCUCCCGCUGGUGUCCAGGACAACCCCCAAGUCCAUCUGAGCUUUUGGGUCCCCUGGCUUUAUUUCAGGUGCGGUGAACUGCAGCAGCAACUGCGCCCGUAGGAAAACGACUCAUGAUGACAUGCCACCAAUCCCCCUGCCAUAAGUAUGUUUAAUUCCUCCAUUGGGUUGCAUUUGCAUAUCAAACACGCUGAGCAAAACAAAAAAAACAAAAAAACAAACGUACCUGCCAUGGUGUUGUGGGAGCCUUUGUGACCAACUAGGAAGCGCGCCUCGAUGCUGAUUGCUGCUGGCUUAUUUUAGCUGCUAGCUGCGUCCUUCUCCUGGAGUACUGCCUCUCACAACGGUUCCAUCCUACUCUAUAUAUACACACACAAAACGAAUCUCUAAUCGUCCUGUCUAAUGUUAUUAAACUACUACUCCAGUACAACCAAUGCACAGGGAGGGAAGGUGCAAGGCACCUCACACACGUACCCUAGCUACUGUCUCGAUCCACAUGUAAUAAUAUAUCAUCAAGGAGAUGUUAUAUAUUUUCCUUCUCUUUUCUCUUUUAUGGCCGGUAAGAAAACAGAGUGUGUAUGUAUAUUUUGGUCCUCAGUAAUUAAUUACUAUUGCCCAACUGCCACUUAAUUUGGUCCUCUAAGUAACAAAUAUCGCCAUUAUUUUUAUUUUGCAUUCCAACUUAUAAGUCGACGGAUUUCUUUUUUUGAAACUAUCGCCCAGGGAAUUUUAUUCCAUCGACGAUAAAACUUCUGACUGAACAAGCUCAGUCAGAAAACCAAGGGUAUUAGAGAAGUAAACAUAAGAGUUAUCAUAGGACAGGGCAGCCCAAGCACAAGCAUGUGCCACCCCAUUAGCUGUUCUCCUGACAAAACACAACUUAAACCCCUGGAACGAGGAGACCCACGAUUUCAUCUCCCGAAUAAUCUGGCCACACACAGACAUGCUCUCUCCACUGCUAUCCCAAUGCAAAUUGUGUCUGGCUUGAUGCACCCAUACAGGGGAAACUGAGGACGUGUGACUACAUCCGUAAGAUUAACAUCGAUCUAAGCACAAACCAUGCUCCCAUAGAGUACAUUUUUCACUGAGAUUCGGCAAGUGUGUGCGAUUCGUAUUCACUAGAAAGACUUCUCACUGGGUCAAGUAAACUAAAACAUGUAUUAGUUCAACAGAUCGAGCGACCAUGUGUCAGCGCCAUUCAGAUCCACAGCACAUUUAGCCACUGAACUGCGGGCGGAACAUAAGGUAUAGGUCUAAGUUUCCUAAAAUUUAAACUACGCAUUCAGAAGGCCGCGAACCAGCCUGCAGGCAGCUAUAGCUGCAUGGAUCACAGAUCAAGUCGUCACUCUCUGCUUGACGAAAAUGGAGGCCCUCGUACGGUCGAUGGAUCUUUUUUUUUAUGAAAAUGCAGCAGCGCUACUUUUCAUUACUUAAGGGAAAAAACACAAGUUAUUUACAAAACUGAAACCUCAGGAGAGGAGAGGAAAGAACAACAACGAAAAAAGAACUAAGAACACUCGGGGGCCUGACCCGAUGAAACCAGAAUUGUUCAAUCAUCUAAAAGGAGGCGACCGAGGUGCGCUUUCCAGGAUAGCAGCUCAUCGAAGGCGACAUCGCAUAGGUUGGCCAUAGAGGAUUGCUUGGAGUGGAAAACUUUUUGAUUGCGCUCAAGCCAGAGGUGCCACCAUCCUAGCAUGACGACCACAGCAAGCCGAGAGUGAGCUAUCUAUCUUGGAUGGGCAGCGCCUGUCUUCAUCGGACCACCAGGAGACAAGGCUGUUAGUGGAAGAGUGCGGCAAGGUAUUGACCUGGACAUUUGUUAUGGUUAGAAGCAGCGACCAGAGCUGAGCAGCGAGCGAAGAGGUUAUCCGCCGUCUUCGGAGAGGUACGGCAAGGUAUUGACCUGGACAUUUCUUAUGGUUAGAAGCAGCGGCCAGAGCUGAGCAGCGAGCGAAGAGGUGAUCCGCCGUCUUCGGAGAGGUACGACAAAGCUGGCAGAUAGGGUUAUGCAUGAUUCCUUUUAUGGCCAGCCGGUCAGCAGUGAGGCAUCUGCGAAGAGCAAGGGUCCAGGCGAAGAAUUUAACUUUGGUCGGGAUUUGAAUUUUCCAAAUAAGCGAGGCAGCAAGAGACAGAGUUCUGCUAAGAAAUUGAACAUUGUAGGCAGAGGAGACCGAGUAGUUCCCAGAUGCUUCAAGCGACCGGCUUUGGAAAUGAAUUGUCCUUGCCAACCGGCCAGCUUUUUAGCAAUCUUAUCAAGGAUAGCUUGGAAAUCCCCAUGUUUGAGCAUGGAAGUGGACAACGGCAUACCAAUAGAAGUGCAAGGGAAGGAGCCCUUGUCGCAACUGAAAGAAGAGACGGCCUGUUUCAACUCAGGAUCAUCACAUUUUAUACCAAAAAUCCUGCUCUUAGCGAAAUUGACGACCAGCCCGGUAGAUUGACCAAAGAGCUUGAUGAUUUUAGCAGUAGCAAUUUGGUCAUUGGUUGAGGAAAAUCAUCGCGUCGUCAGCAUACAGAGACACCCGAGGGAGCCGGCCGUGGCAGCCAAUUGGGAGCAAAAUAGCAUUAUCUUCAGCCAACGCAAGCAACUGAGCCAGGCAAUCCAUGACAAGAACAAAUAGAAGCGGUGACAGAGGGUCUUCUUGACGCAAGCCACGUCUGUGCAUAAUUUUCUCAGACAAGGAUUGGUUAACCAGGAUGUGGGAGGAGGAAUUUCUCAGGAGCAUGGCAGUCCAUUGGAUCCAUCUUCUUGGAAAACCGAGGUGAGCCAGCAAUUUGAUAAGAAAAGGCUAGGAGACCGAGUCAAACGCUUUGAAAUGUCAAGUUUGAGCACCAGGGUAGCAUGAUUGUCGCUGCGCAGCUCUCGGAUAGUAGAUUGGAUGAACAUGAAAUUUUCAUGAAUACAUCUGUCCUUGAUGAAAGCACUCUAGCAGGAGGAGACAAGCUGCUGCAUGUGGAGUUGUAACCUCAGUGUCACGGAUUUAGUGUCCAGCUUAGCAAAACUGUGAAUCAGACUAAUUGAUUCAACUAGUUGAAUUAACUCAACUAGUGACGGGUUUGUGAAUGAACUAACACGGUUAAGUAGUACUCAUGGUUAAUUCUGCAACUACUGACAGAGUUCUUACAACUGUUUAAUUUGGAAGUUGUGGUGCCGACUGUCACUCAUUUGUUGAUAUUAAUUAGUAGUACCAAUUGGCUGUUCUUAUAGAGUUAUUUGUAUGUUAAUUUUGCAUGCAUCACUUUAAUCUGGGUCAAUUAUGUCACCUGAGCUACUUAAUUUAAACAAGCAUGGGGAUUUUAUGAUGACAUGGAUCGUCCUUGAUGGCAUAUGUAUCGCAUGGCAAAAGUACCCGUGCAUCUCAACCGAGGGUUUUGAAAAUUGGAACCUUUGCCACAUCUCAAGAUUGAACCAAAAGGCUGCUUUUCAUAUUGCCAACAAAUUUUUACUUUGGCGCAACUAUCCACAGUUAAGAUUGACCAAGCAAUGGUUAAGUUAUGAUGGAGCGAUGACUCAUCGGACGGCAAAUGACAGAUCGAGAUCCACAUUGUUAAACAAAGACUAGACUAACCAGACCAGUGAGGCAGUGAGAAUACUAAGGGCAUCUCCAACGAGGGGUACCUAACAGGUACUAAUAUUCUCUUUCUUACUUUUGAGGCUGAGGUGGAACAAAAAGUGAAGAUAUGGUAUGUUGCAGUAGUAACAGUUUUGGCACAAGAACCAAGAAUGUGAAAAGAUAGUUUAAUAGAGAAAAGAGUAUGCCAUGUGAACCCAGACUGAAAAAGUAACAUUAACAUUGAAGAGAGAGAAAAAUAAAUAAAAAAAGGAGGCUAAGUACUGGGUUUUCUCUGCUCUUGUUGAGGAUGCCCUAAGUUCCAGCACAUGGACAUGGAGUGAUGAUGACUCCUCGGACGGCAGAUCGAGAUCUACAUUGUUAAACAAAAAAUAGACUAACCAGACCAGUCAGAAACGUUAAGCAAACAUGCUUGUUGCUCAAUCCUCGGGUCGGUCGAACGUCCAGGGGAUCAGCAUCGAAACCAUAACUGAACCAGAAACAGGUUGCCGAUCGACACCAAUACAAUACUCACGAGUUAUUUCAAAUUUCAAAACACUAUAUUGUACUCUCUUCGAUUUUAAAUUCUUGUCGUGAUUUUAGUUCAAAUUUACACUAAAAUCUUCUUGUCAUGGUUCAAACUUAGGAUCGGAGGAGCACGUGAGAUUCGACUGCACUCAUAUAGGACAUGUUAUUAACUUGACUUGACCAGAAAGCAAGAUAUAUCUAUUGGCUGCCCAAAUUGCCGGUGCUCUAACAUAGGCAAAGAAAUUAAUAUGCAUGUUAGAUUUAAUCAGCCCUCACUCGAGCAGCUGAGAUUCCUCGGAUCGGAAUCUGCUUAACAACCUAGCGAUGCUAACAUGCUUCAAGUUGACUUUGAAAAAUUUGUAUAAUCAUACCGACUGACGUGAACAAAUUUUGAGAAACAAGACUUCAUGACAAGACUUUACAAAACUGAGUUUAGCUGAUUCAGCCAUCACGUACGCUGGCCAAAAAUGGAGCAGCUGGUUUCACGGAUCGGGAUCUGCACCGACACUAGCUAGACAUGUAUAACUGAACGUGCGUUGCAUUAAGACGUCACAAUGCGUACGUCAACUGAUGACAUACUAGCUUGGAGAUGUGUUAAAUUAAGACGAGGCACUACAACAAUUAAUGAACUACUCCCUUCGUCCUGAAACAACUGACGUUAUUUUGUAUAAACUCUUAUACAAAUCCAUGUCACUUAACGGCGAGGCGUCUGCGGUGACUUCGUCAAUCUCUCAAGAUCUGCCGGCCAGUCUUUCGGAGGUGCUCAUAGGAGUAGGGUGUGUGUGUGCGCGCGUUCAUAGAUGUGAGUAUAUGCACGUGUUGUGAGUAUCUGCGUUUGUACUGCGUUUCUAAAAAGAAAAGGAGCAUAUCAUUUUCUUGAAAUUCCAUGAUUAUAUUUAAAAUUAUACUUUUCGAAUAUAUAGUGGUUUCCUUGAAUGUUGUUAUUAACUUGCCUUGACCAGAAAACUCCAUGAAAUUGCAGGGGCGCUUAAUGGUUUCUGUAAGUACUCGUACAAAGUUAGCUGGAUCGCCCGAUCGGGGGAAUACUGUGGCUCACACCCUUGCUCAGUAUGCUAGAGAAAAGGCGUCUUCAAGUCUCUUAACUGGUUCAGUCCCGGGCGUGUGUUCAUAUUUGUACUUAGCCGCACUUUCCAGUUAAAUGAAUGCCUUUUCCCUUUAAAAAAAGAAAGCAAGAUGUCUUGGCUGCCCAAAUUGCCGGUGCUCUAGCAUGGUGAAAAAGGCCUCCCGUGUCGCCCACGGGCGCGAGGUGACAACGUAGAAAAAUCACCAUUUUGAUUGUUUUCGUGGGUUUUUUGAGAUUUUGGCCGAUUUUUUGAUAUCGUAGCCACCGAUAUAACACUGUUCCGGGCCAUUUUGGGCCGAAAAUCACCCUUUUAGUCGUAUUUGUGGGUUCUAAAUCACGUUUUUUUGGAUUUUUGGCUGACCCCUUGGUAGGCUGAUAUGCUUUCCUUUUUUUGGGAGCAACACAAAAAAUCAUCGGUUUGGCAAUUUUUCGUGGGCUAUAGCUCAUGGUUUUUGUGUGGCCGUUUUUGGCUCGGUGCCGAAAAUCACUGUUUUGGCUUUUUUGUGAGCUUUUGGCCGAUAUUCGACACCGGGGAUGUUGAAAAUCACCAUUGAAAAAUGUGCCGAAAAUCACAUUAGACCACUUUGGUCUAAUGUUGAAAAAUCGUCGUUGUCGUAGCCCGGGGCUUAGACACCGGGGAUGCGAGGCACCCCCUUUUUGGUUCGGCAGUGGGCGUUGGGCAUCGCUCCGGCGAUUGCCGGCGAGGCCAAUGACGAGCGUACAAUGCACAAGCCUGUUUACCCAGGUUCGGGCCACCCUGAGUUGUAAAACCCUACGUCCUGCUUCUGAGUUUGUAUUAGCCAAUGAACAAGUGUUUACAGGUUGCCGGGGGAGUCCCCGGGUGCUCUCUUCCUUUUUUGCUAAGUGGCUACUUGCUACUUUCGUCUAAAGCCCCAAACUCUAACUCCACUAGAGUGCAAUCUAGAAAAGAACCGAACCUCCCGACCGAUGGCGCUGGUUCUCCUUUUAUACUCAAGGGGAUACCACAGGUGCCUCGGUGGAUGGGGGACAAGUGUCGAGCAAAGACCCUAGACAACUUGCCCUUGCUGCGCUAGCAUGCAUGCAUGGUGCUAAGUGUUGUAGCUAGGGCGAUACGUGCCUUAGAUUCACUGCGAGCCACUCACUGUGGGCUGACUAGACAGGGAACCAUCCUUCUGUUGGAGCAUUUAAUGCUUGCUUGUGCCAUACUCCACGCUCUGACCAGCCCUGCACAAAAGGAGCCUGCCGGGCGGCCACGUGGUGCCAAUACUCUGCUUGCACUGAGCGCCGGUCCUGUUGUAACCGCCUACGCCAGAUAACACCCUCCCUGGCAAGUGAACUUCCUGGGGGGCGCCCUGACGGGAACUUUCACGCUGCCAUCCGAGGCAACCCCCGCAGCCCGGCUAGUCCUGUCGGGCUGGUGGCUUCCCAGGCAGCUCGCACCACGCUGCCCGGGGUGCCGUCCUUGCGGGGAGCAAGCGAGGCAACCCACGCGUUGCGCAUUGGUGGUACCCCGGGUGCCACUGGUGCGACAAUCGUUUUACCCGUUUUCGUGGAUAUAGCACAUAAUUUGGGUUUCCACCGAUUUUUCGAUAUCGUGACCCCACGAGGCAGUGUUUCGGGCCGUUUUUGGCUGAAAGUCGUUGUUUGAGCCGUUGUCAUGUGCUAUAGCUCAGCUUUUGGGUUUCUUCCAAUUCUCCGAUAUUGUUACCCACCUAUGCGGAAAAAUUAUCGUUUUGUUCAUUUCCGUGUGUAGUCACGAAAGUACUAAAAAUGACAAGCAGUAAAAGCAUACAAAGACUUGCUCGAAACAACAAAAUUACCAUGCACGAUCGGCCACCAAACUCAACUUGAGCGCGCAAUAUGUCGCAACCAUAGUGUUCGUUUGUCGCGGUUAAAACUCCAUCAGAGGUACCAACGGUGGAUAUCAUCUUUUCUUAUUUUCAUAGCAGCGUUUCAUUUUGUUUUAUUCAUACAAUGAUCCGAAGACCGGACUCCACGGUUGCAAGAUAACCAAGUUUUUUUUUGGGGUGGUGGACAAGAUAACAGAGUUAUAAAAGAAGGUCCCGUUAUCUUGUUCACAUUGAUGUGUUCCAAUUGCGUUGCCAAGUACUCCCUUCAUUCUUUAAUUUUUGUCGAAAUAUUACAUGUAUCUAGACACUUUUUAGAAAUAGAUACAUCCAUUUUUAAAAAAAAUUUAGACAAAAAUUAUGAAACGGAGGUAGUAGUGUAUUUCGUAAUGGAAAAGGGCAAGAAGCCAGGUGUUUGAAAAAUCUUGUUCACCUUGAAAAUAGACGAGAAGUCAACAAUGAUGGUGCGCCUUGCGCUCGUGCUAAUCCUUUAACUGUCGCUAGGCCCCUUGCUGAUGAGGGCCGGUCCUGAAAUUUCAGAGACGCCAGAGCGAACUUCAUGAAUGGGCCUAGCGACUGUAGUGAAGGGGAAAAAAAGGAUUUCUUACAUCAACAGAACAGAGGGUAAAAAGUUAAGAGUGUAUAAUACAUGACUAGUCCAUAAACUGGGAGGAAAUAAACAUCAUAAUCCAUGAAUUUAUAAAACGUAGACAUGAUUUUAAAAUCAUAUUCCCUCCUUUUCACAACCACGCUUUUCGAGGUCAAAAUUUGACCUACAAUAUGUAGAUUAUAUGUUGCAAAAUUUAUAUCGUUGGAAAUAUUUUUGAAAUACGAAUCCAAUGAUAUAAUUUUUUAGCACAUAACUCUCAAAUCAUUAGUCUAAUAAUUGUCGGUCAAAAUAAAAUUUUAAAAUGCGGACCAUUCUUUGUGAAAAGGAAGGAAUACUAGUGAUACAAUUCAGUCAAAAAUAGGUUGUAGGAGUAAAAAAAAAGUAGGCACGGGGCUGCCACGUCGAAACGAAGACGGUGAGAGGAUGGACAUACGAGCGCAGGCUCACGAGCUGGACCAGGCCAUGGCAAGCCGGACCGAGCCAGCAUGUUUUCUGGCCGAGCCGAGCUUCAAAGAGAGACUUGUUCGGCCUUCGGCCGAGCGGCUCGGUCUAGUCCGCGAGCUGGCGGCCCGAAGAAAUUCAACAGCCCAUCGUCACCGAUUCACGGCCCAGAGACGCCUCCCCACCGUUCAGUCCGCAAUUCCCCCACCCGGAGCUGCCGGCUGUCUGACUGCCGCCCCGUUCGGCCGCGGCACACGGUGCAGGUGCAGCGCGGGGUCACCAAGGCAGGGACAAGGAGAAGCAGGAUAAUGUGCAUUGCUGGUCCCGCUGCUUGCUGUUGGUGUUGCUUAGCUGUCACUAUUGACUAUUUGCUGUUCCUGUCGCCGGAGCGCUGGAGCAGCAGGCAGCCGCUGGGAGAAGAAGAUCCGCCGCUGCUUGCUCGCUCUUUGCCUGCCGUUGAGCUGCUGCUUGCUCUGUUGGCUGUUGAUCUUAAAUAAAAACACAUUAGGACUUGUUUGGUGUUACUGGAUUUUUUAGCCACUGGUGAACUCAAAACACUAGUGUUUUGGUAUAUGAGAUGUGUUUUAAUUUGGUUAAAAAAUGAAAUGUUUUGUGGAAGAAAACUAUGAAUAAUCUUCUCUAGACUCUUCGUACCAAACAACCAUUUAUAGUUUAUAGUGUUUUUCAAUUCGGAGUAGAUAAUAUCAUAAAAAACACCUAAAAACUCUAGUAUCAAACAAGACCGGCUGUUACUGCUGCUUGUGCAGCGUGGUAAACCAUGACGCCGACGACCUAGUCUAAAGGCCACCAAACGUCCGGAGUGUACUACCCCCUCCGUAUUAUGCAUCGCGUGAGCGUGAUCGGGCUGCAGCUGCAUCGUGCGUUCGCGGACGGACGCCGGGCACCGGCCCCUCGCCAGAGAACGACUGAACGAAGUUAACAGGACCAACAAGAGUGAGCAUUUUACCAGCCAUCUUAAUCUUCAAUUCUUUGUACUGUAUUUCCUUAAAUACACGACAAGUAUUUAGGACCGGAGGGAAUACUAAUUUUCAAUUUGUUAAUUAAUCUAGUCUCGUUAAAUUUCAGAACUACGAAGCCAUCGUCUAGAAUGUAUCCAUCCGGCGGUGAGAAAAGGAAAAGAAAGAAACGAGACGAUACAUGGUAACAAUCGGCAGCAUCACAGCUGCAAAUGGCCGGCGGCGGCACUGGAUUUCUGGCACGUACACGCGCAGAGGGCUGAGCUAGUUACCUUGGAGGGCGUGGGGGAUGGCCCCGCCCUGUAUCUUAGUGGGCUCCUUCCACCCCAUGGCGUCGCACGCGUCCACCAGCUCCCGGCAGAUGCCCAGCUCCGCGAACGUCGACGCCUCGGCGACCGGCUCCGGCUCCAGCUCAGGCUCCCGCUCCGCGGCCAUGGCUGCUACCGAGGAGGAGUAGAGAAGCUCUUCCGUGCGAGAGUGGGCGCGCGCGUGCGUCGGCGAAGGGGGCGGCGUGUGUUGGUGCUUGGCGCGGCGGUGGGUUUGUUAUGACGGGAGGUAGAAGGAAGAACCUGCAUUAAACCCUAGCUGACGCGACGAGACGGAGGAAGGGGAAAGCUUUCACUGGGCUGGGCUGGGCUGGCAUGCUCGACCCAACAGCAUACUCAGCCCAUGUAAAUAUACGACCAUGGGCUUCUAAGCCCUAUGGAGGUGAGCCCACCACCCCUUUGAUUGCCUCGUGCUGAUCCUUUGAUUGUGGCCCACUGGCCAGGCCCGUUGCUGAUGAUGUUUCCAGACCGUUUGGCUGUUAGGAUGGAGACGGCUGUCUGGAGUGUGGACCUGUUACGCAUGUCUGCUGCUUGUCCAGCGUCAGGUAAACGGUAAACCAUGACGCCGACGACCUGAAGUCUAAAGGCCACCAAACGACCUGAGGUACCAGUAGUAGCUAACAACCCGGCGUGAAGACUAUUACUCGGAUACUAAGAUGAACAGACAAAGAAUUGAAAUUCAUCUUGAAAAAAGAAAGAAAGAGGGAACGUGGUCUUGCAUUUUUCCACUGAUCCUUAAGCUUGUACUCCCUCCAUUCCUAAAUACUUCUCGUGAUUUUAAUUUUGCAAUAAAACCACGACAAAUAUUUAGAAACGGUUUGCACUAAAACCAUGACAAGUAUUUAGGAACGGAUGGAUUACUGUAUACAGAGACUAAGGAAACAUCCUAAAGCUUGGUUCCACUGAUCCACCGAGGCUGGGGGCUUUAGUUUUUGCACAUCAGUAGUGUUCUGAAUUGCCUUGUUGACUCCGACCAUUGAUUAUUUGUCCCUUAAGUCUUGAAGUAUAACUAAUCAUGUCUGGACCGGCCAAUAGACGAGAUGACACUCUGACAGUAACAAGACAGGCUCGCUUUCCUCUCAGACAUGACCCAAAAAACAUAGGCCCGCGGCAGGUCAGGUUUCCUCUUCAGGCUGUCCAUCUUCAAUUAGUUAGCCGUAGUACGUACGUGCAGAUGUGCAUGGCCUGUGUUGACAUAGCUCAAUCUGCAAUUCUGAAUAAUCAUACUUAUUGUUAUCAUUAUCUGGAAAAAAAAGGGCUGCAAAGUGACUGGAAAAAAUAAUCUAAUUAGUGUACUAACGGUCCAGAUCCUCCUCUUAUCUUUCGGUCACCGUGGCUUUACUUACAAGGCAAUUAGGCAAACGCACUCCGAAUUGUGCCAAGCUAUAGCCUGUAGCUUUGCUCUCUUUGUAAGCCAUGCUUUUCUUCUCCCUUCAGCCUUCAGGAGUUCUAGAUAUUAUCUAUUCAUUUAUUUUAGAUAAUUAUGAAAAAAGUUAUUUGUAUACAGAGAGAAGUACUAUCGGGAAAAAAAGAUUCCCCCCUCUAGAAAAUCGGAAUUCCAUGGAAGUUUGGUUUGCUUGUAUGGAACAAAAUCUGAACUUCAGUAUUGCUUCUGCAAAAGGUCACCAUCGGUUUAGCAGUGUAUGAUUCAGGCUCUCUUUUCUAUCGCCCUUGGAAAAGAUAGAAAUUUCUGUUUCAAACUAUAAACAACCUGUGAUGCAGAAGAAUGUCUCUCUUCUUUAGGGUCUUCACUGUGUUGUGCAUUUCAACCCAAAGUUUACAAUUCCCUUUGUAAAGGAAAGAUAAUGGCUGGAAAUUUUUUUGUCAACUCUUUCAGCCGGCAAUAUCUCAGCCAGACAGAAAACUGUCGUUGUCCGUGCUUGUAGCCCAUUCAAUUCAGUUCGUGCUUGUCUGAAGAAAAGAACACACUUUCCACGUUCAUGUUUCAGAUGUUUCUCUUGAUGGCAUCAGGAGGCCCUCCAAGUCUCUAAUUGAUCCAGCAAUAGAAGAUAGAACUCCACAUUGGGAUGUCUUAACCAAAUUAGUCAAAGUAUUUACAAUUUUCUCUUGGACAAAUUAAUGAACAAAAAAGAGAAGAUGACGGCUUUCGAUUCGACUUCUCCACCAAGCGAUGUAGUCGUAAUUCGCUUGAUUCAUAGCAUGGAGUGUGUUUUUUUUAUUUUCUUUUGCACAUGCAUAAAUGAGGCGAAAGGAGACUGCUGCUCAUUUGCCACCUCUGCAACUCCAAGCUCCAGCUGCCAAAUUGUUCUAAACAGCAACUCAUCAAUCCUUCCUUCUAAACAGUGUGGCAUUUAUCAGCAACAGCUAGGAUCCAUCGGCAGAUACAUCCCCGGGGACCCAAAAAACACACAAAUCAUGGGCGAGUUGGGCGCUCGAUUGGGUCCAUGGAUGCAUGAUCCUGGACCAUGCCCAUGCCAAUGGGUUUGCAUUUUGCAAGGUACUAGCAGUACUGUGCUAUUUGCAAUUGAUGUGCUUGCAUUGAUCAGUUGUUCAUCCAUGCUUCCUAGUUCCUGAAGAGCUUCUUCAACAGCAUUAACAUUAGGGACAUUACAUGUUUCUCAAGCUGCAGAUAUAGCAAACCUGAGAUUGCAAUUCUGUGGGAACUCUGGUUUGCAAAUAAAGCCUUCAGUACUGAAAUGAUAUCCCAGCUAGUCAAACCAUCCUGGUUUUUCAGGAUCGAAUUGCUUUGCAAUAGAAUAUGGUUCACAUAAAUAGAGAAAGAGAUAAAGUGAAUAUGUAGAGGAAAAAAUGACAGGCUCUCGUUGAGGCUGAGCACAAAAACAGAGACCACUUGUAGCAAUGUUCAAGAACCUUCCUUUCGGUUGUGCAAACCGAAAACUUCAAAGCCGUUCCCACCGGUAAUAACGGCCCCAACACCAGGGACCCACUAGCCAGCAGACAGCCAGUCUAUUCACAAGCUAGAAGGAGCAAGAAAAUAAGAGAGGUUAUUUUUAGCUAUUGCCGCCAUUCCAUGUACCAUGUUCCUCCUUCCAACUGAAAACAGUCACCAUCAGUCAGUCUCUCAGUCACAGUUAUUACUGGUUUUCGUUGGAGAAAACAGUUACUAAAUCAGCUGUGCCAUUUCCCUUCACAAGAAAUAGUCUGCCCAAAUUAGUUAAAAGUCAUUUUUGGAGCACUCAGCAUCAAGAAGAACUGAACCAAAAGCAACCAGAUAAAAACUUCCACAUAGAAGAACUAGAAGAAAAUAUAUACGCCAGCCAGCCGGCCCACGACUAAACCCCACUAUCCUUCCCGGCGAAUUCUCCAUUGCUUCGCUUCCGCAAGACUCUUUCUCCCCCUUUCCCCCCUUCCUCGCCUCAAGGUAGGUAGCCGCCAUAGCCGAGAACCUAACGCAACUGCACGCCGUUGAUCGGCGGCGUCCGGCCGGGUCGAUGGAGCCAUCGUCGGACGACUGCGGGGUUGCCGCCUUGGCGGCCGGCGGCGGCAACAAGAAGCAGCAGCCCCAGUUGGGGCGGUCGCUGACGUACCACCACGGGGGGCACCGGCGGGGGCGGGGGCGGGCGCAGCUGGCGGACGAGCCGAGGGCGAGGGCGGACGCGGUGGUGCUCUACACGACCUCCCUCCGCGGGGUGCGCCGCACCUUCGCGGACUGCUGCUCGUCGCGAGCCAUCCUGCGCGGGCUCCGCGUGGCCGUCGACGAGCGGGACGUCUCCAUGGACGCCUCGCUCCGGGGGGAGCUCCAGGCCCUGCUGGCGGCGCGUGGGCGCGGGUUCUCGCUCCCGCAGUUGCUCGUCGGCGGGAAGCUCGUGGGCGGCGCCGACGAGGUCCGCAGGCUGCACGAGUCCGGCCAGCUCAGGCGCCUCCUCCGCGGCGCUGCUGGCCAGGACCCGGCCUUCGUCUGCGCUGCCUGCGGCGGCGCCCGCUUCGCGCCUUGCCCGGCAUGCGACGGCGCCCGCAAGGUGUUCGACGAGGAACAAGGCCGCGCACGACGCUGCGGCGACUGCAACGAGAACGGGCUCGUCCGCUGCGCCUACUGCUCUUCUUCUUGACUUUGAAAUCGAUCGAUCACCGCAAACACGAUCGUCCGAAUUCCAGUUCUAUUAUUCGCUGCUAAUUAAUUUGAAGGAGGAUAUAUAUUUAGAGGUGGUAGAUGAUUCGUCAUCAGAGAGGUGCGUUUCAUAUUGUUUCUUGGCGUUGGAUUUGUGUGUUAUAUAAAUCUGAACCCGAUCAUUUGGGGAUUGGUUCAGAUUGGGUGCUGUGCUCAUGGUCAUGGAGGAAGAACGAAUUGCUGUUCUUGCUGCAGAAAAAUUGCCAUUGUGGUGAUGGCGAUUUGGGAAAUAAUACGGUGCUUGUAUAUGUGUGUGUGGGUAAUGUAAAGGGAAGAUUUGUCACUGACAUUAGCUUGAUUAAUUAAUGUAAAUACUUGAGCUUGGUUGAUCAUAUUCUUGCCUGGUUCUUACUUCUCCUCUUGUCUUUGCUUGCUCUGAUUAAUAUCUUCUUUCUUUUUUGAGGGAGAUUAAAUUUCUUCUUGAAUAGAUCAAACUGUUUGAUCUGGAAAUUAUCCAACUUCAACUAUUUGAUAGCACCUUAACUGCAAUCAUGUUGUCCCUUAGCUGUACCUACUAAACUAGAGCCACCUCUUCUUUCAAUUUUUUUUUUCAUUUUUUCCUUUUUAUUUUUUUUAUGGAGUGUCUCUAAACAAGUAAUGUACUCCCUCAGGUUCAAAUUAAUAGCUGCAGGUUUGUCUAGAUACGCAUGUUGCGACAGUUAAUUUGGAUUUGAGGUGGGUUUACCACGACUCCUGUAUUCUGGGGAGACCCUGUGGUUCCACCGUAGUCCGUGUUUUUUAAGACGCAAAGGUUGUUCGGUGAAUCUGUGAUCAUUGCAUCCUGGAGAACUUUCAAUUAUUUCCCCUAUUUCUUUGCAUGACACAGAAUGGCUUUUGAAUCUUUUGAUCGAUGCAAGUACAAGUUCAUCAUAUCUUGUAGGAUCUAGAAAAGGCUGAAGAGCUGUAGACUUAUAAUAUAUCCAUGUAAUGCGGAUAAGUUCAGUCAGAUUUUUCAAGAGUUACAAAUGAUUCAACUGGAAUAUUUCAAAAGUUACAAUCUGGGUUCAACGCAUGUCAGGCAAUAAGUACGCUGUUUCCUCUCUUUUUGCCCCUUUGCAUUUCUUAAUUAUGUUUGCUAUUGUUUGGAACUUUGGAUUAACUAGAAAAUCAGAGUCUUUUGUCUUGAUUUUCCAAUUUGGAAUGCAAAAUAUCGCCAAAGUACUCCUAAAAGAAACGAUCUAAAAACAUCAAAUAUGUUAUAAUAUAGCAUGAGCAUCCUGCAAAAAUUAGACUCGUAAAGGAGACAAAUUUUCAGCAGGAGCAGCCACAGAUUUGGCAGCUGUACAGACACCAUUCAACAUGAGAAGCGGCAACCUGAAGAAUGAACAAUUCAACAUGAGAAAUUCAGAACAUUGGCGGUGUCUGUUAUGGAUAACCAGUCUGACACAUACAGAGGGGAGCUACAUGAUUUACAUUCCAGGAGGUACCAGCAAGAUCUCCCUAAAACGGGCAGCCCAAUGGCCAGCCAGCUCAUGUUCAAAGCAAAAGAAGAGAUUUUGCCUUCAGCUCUACCACAUCAGUACCGCCUCAAUCGGUUUACAUGACAACCAUCCAUCAAAUUAUUUUUUGAGCUGCUAGAAGUUUGGCGGCUAAGACAGUCUACACCAUUACCUAGUCUCCUAAGUUCUCGCAGCGAUUCACCUACGCAUUACCUUCGGUUCAUCUGGGAUACAUGAUCCAAAGGAUCCAGAAGGAAUGAAAGCACAGUUUAUUGCUCCUUCCAGAUUCUCCCUGUGACCCGGAGUUUGAGCUCCUUCCUGUCGCCACCAGAGAAGCACAGGGCCAUGUUCCGCUGGAUGAUGAGCCCGUCGUAGCUGUCUCGGACUUUCCUGUGACUGUCUCUGAUGCUUCGAGGGAUACCUUGCCAGGUCAUCUUGCGGUUGAUGCCUCCAACCUCCAGGCUGUAGCUGUAGUUCUUGGCUUCGGCGUCGUCUCCCAUGAAUCUGAGGAAGGCGAUGUAGACAGGCGCCAUGCCCAACUGGAAUGCCUCAAAGUGCAGGCAGAAGUACUGGCCAAAGCAGCUGAAUACCUAGACAAAUAUUCAGGAGUUAGUUCUACAGCUCUCACUUCCAUGGAGAAUUAAACACAGACGACAGAAGCUGAAAACAGUAACAUAAUCGGUGAUGACAUGGAUGAUAGCAAGCAUGCGUUGUCAUGAGUACCUUAAUUGCAUUCUUAAGUAGUACGUACUAGCAUUAAGUGAAGAAUCAGCAACCCAUAAGACCAUAACUCAUGUUAUAAAAAACUAUCCUAGAACAACUUUGCCAUGUCUAGAUCUUGGACGUAGGGUGGUGAGGAGUAAUAUACUAGUAUCCAGGUCAAACAAAUUUUACAUGUCCAAUACAAUUGACAUGAACUUUGCAUAGUUUUUCAGAUUAUGAAAAUACAGAGAUAGGUGAUAAUUACCGUAAGCAUCCAUGUAGCAUUCUCAACCUCAUGAGGAUUUGAUUUGACAUAACGGUGAUUGAAGGUGCUUCCACUGUGCAUGUCAACCUUAUGAUCAUCCUUCAAGUGACUCACUAGAUAUGGAAUGUCACCAGCAACAGUGCAUUCAGAUCCAGCAUAUGGGCAAGUAUAGGGUCUGUAUUGGCACUGCGACUCAUGUUUCAGCUUGCAAUAAUAAGGAUAUAUUCCCAAGCAUCCAAAGUUCUGGAACUUGCAUGGAACCUCUAGAGAAGCAGCCACCUUCUCCAGAGCAAGGCAUCUUAUGUUACCCAGUUCAUUCCUGCAAGUUGGGCAGCGAUUAUGAACCCUUGGCUUGCAUCCAGAACAUAUGGUAUGGCCAUUGGAGCACUGCACACACAAAUGAGACAACAUAGUAAAGAACCUGUAUACAACUUCAUAUUCAACUUGCUUUUCUGAGCUUGAGAAUAUGCAGUGAAAUUCAAAACAAUCAUAACAGAUAUCAGGCCCUCCUAGGAGAACAUCUGACAAGGAACAAUCUGGAUAACAUCAAAAAUGAAAAAAAGAGCGUUCAAGUUCAAAAUGUUUGCAAGGAGCUAGUCACAGGUGGGCCUGAUGCAUGGGGAUGGUUACCAGAGAGGAAGAGAUAUAACCUGCUAGUGUGAAGGAAUUCAUAAAGAAGUUACCAACAUAAAGCCUAUCUUAGCUCUGCCUGCCUUAAAGGUAAAUCAGCAUUUUCAUAUUCUUUCAAGUGUGUGUUCUUGUCCAAUCACGUAUAUUGGCAUACACAUGGCACUUCAAAAAAUCCAGGAAAGGCCAGUAUAAUGCAACUGAGAUGCUUCAGCUAAAUGAGUUCAGUAGCCAAGGCAUACCUGAUGAAUUGGAGGAUACAUGGCAACCAAACACACAGGGCAUUCCAAUAGCUCACGAACAUUGCUAGAAACUAUCGCAUUCUGUUUUGGUGAAUGCUGGAUAGGAUCGCCAAUGAGUUCAGUGACAUCUAACAUCUCACACUUUGGAGGGUCAAUAACUUCAGCAUCAGUGUCAUCAAGAUAAGCACCUGAUGCCAUGGUCAAACCUAUUGGUACAGAAUUCUGCAUGGAGAAAAAAAAAGAAAUCAAGAGGGGAAUUAGGCUCGAGAGUAAAAUGAGAAAGAUAAUUUUUAUUCGUGAGAAUAUCACUUAAUCAGAUUAGAACGCUUUUCUAUGGAACACAGAAAAGUAAAUUUUGUCUGCCAAGUCCUAAGCCAACCAUAACAUAACCCAACAGCACUUAAAGGUUCUGUAGUGAAGAUCAUUAACGACAGAAAUCAUGAACGCACAUAGGUUGGACCUCAGACAAAUCUUGUACGAUUUGAUGCAGCAAGUCUUGUUAGAUUACAUCACUACACCCCAAGCAAGAAAACACAGAUGCCAUGGUGUUCAGCCACUAUGCUCGUAGUUUUUCAGCAAAACAUUGAAAUGUUUUUAGUCUCUCACUGUACUUUUUGUUCUGCCUUUCUAGUCAACUUUUUUUUCA